This 49208-nucleotide long non-coding RNA is filed under the name Musa acuminata (dwarf banana). RNAcentral describes it as "long non-coding RNA (MACU_LNC001006)". Lineage: Eukaryota; Viridiplantae; Streptophyta; Magnoliopsida; Zingiberales; Musaceae. The record is from RNAcentral.
UGGUCUCCUCGGCUGCCACCUUCACCCGGGCUUCCCCGGCUCAAUCCAGCAUGGUGGCGCCGUUCACCGGCCUCAAGUCCGCCUCCGCCUUCCCUGUCACCAGGAAGCCCAACGCCGACCUCUCCCACCUCCCCAGCAAUGGCGGCCGAGUUCAGUGCAUGAAGGUACGCACGUACAAGGCUCGUGGCUCGAGUCGGAAACCUCUGUUACCGAGAUAGCCGUUACGAAUCAUAUACUGUGGAUGUAAUUCUUACGACAGGUGUGGCCGAUCGAGGGCAUGAAGAAGUUUGAGACCCUGUCCUACCUUCCGACACUGAAGGACGAGGAGUUGCUGAAGCAGAUCGAGUACCUUCUCCGCUCCAAAUGGAUUCCCUGCUUGGAGUUCUGCCCCGUAAGUAACUUCACCUGCCCCAUGGUGGGCAUCCGGUAACCUUGAUAUCCAGCAUGCAUACCGGGGAUUGAAGUCGAUCGUAAUGACCAUAACAGAAAGGGUUCGUGUGGCGCGAGAACCACCGGUCGCCGGGGUACUACGACGGGCGGUACUGGACCAUGUGGAAGCUGCCCAUGUUCGGGUGCACCGACGCUGUGCAGGUGGCGAAGGAGGUGGAGGAGUGCAAGAAGGAGUACCCCCACGCCUUCAUCCGCAUCAUCGGCUUCGACAACAACCGCCAGGUGCAGUGCAUCAGUUUCAUCGCCUACAAGCCGACCGGCUACUAGACGAUUCGGAUCCGGCUCUUCGGAUUUGCUUUCUUUGGUUCAGUGUUGGAUGUUUCCCCUUCUCUCGUUGUCUCCUCUACGCAACCGCCGACAGUGCAGCAGCGCACUGAGGCCGUCUAUGUUUUGUUUCCCCAAGAACGCGGAGCUUGUAUGUUAAGAAGUUUAUUAUGGACGUUCGCUUAUUUAUAAUAAAGGCUACCCAAUGUGUUUGAUUUUACCUGUAUCCGUCUGCUGUGGGUGGAAGAAUCCCGUACCGUAGUCGGCAGACGUGUGGUGUGGGGGUUGAAGCUUUGCUCUGGCCCAACCUAAUGUUAUCUGGGCUCUGUAUUGGGCCGAUCUCGGCCUACUUGGACGAUCAACCGCUGGGUCAACGGUCAAACACCGCGCGCAUGUCUUCUUCUUCUCCCUCCCCUACUAAUUUAAUGGAAAUAGAUAUAUGGACCCCCAAAAAAAAAAAAAAAAAAAUGUCAUCAUCUCGCAUCCGACGCACCAACAAACGCGCCGUGGCAAAAGCAGUACGAGAGGUUUCCUAUCGUCGUCGGUCGUGAAGAGUAGCAAAGUAGAUCGAGCCCAAGCGAGGAACGUCACGUGCGAGCAUAAUUCGUGUCGGCCCUUCGCUCGUGGUGGGGUACCGCCGCGGUGCCCGGUACCGUGUCGGAUGAUGUAUAUUAAUGAAGCCAACCGUGUGUGAUAUCUCAACUCAUGCUGUAAUCACCGUUUGAAUAGUUUGAUGAACGGUGUCCAUAUCCACAGCAUGCGUGACACAUUUGGUACCUACCCAUUAAAAUACAAUACCAUUCAGAGCACUCUCUCGAUUUAUUUUACUUUUUCUAUUAUUCUUCUUCUUCUUCUUCUUUUUUUCCUUUGGAUAAAUCCUCCUCCGACUCCCUUCUUCCCCAUUCCUAUCUCCUUCCCCUCUUCGGAUUCUCUCUCUCUCUCUCUCUCUCUCUCUCUAGUAGGGAGGCGGAUAAGGUACAUAAAAAUCCGGUCUUUGCCUCCUGCGCUUCUUUUUCUUCCCUUCUUCUUCGAUUCUGAGGGGUGAUCGGCUUCUUUUGUGGGAGAUCCCUCUCGUGGUGUCGCGCGCCGGUGGUUUUCCAAACAGAGUCGGGAUUUUUACUGGUUUUUGGAGUUUUCCUUCUUCUCGAAAUUUCGCACCCUCCUGCUUUUAUGGGAAACAGUGAAAUGUUCAAACUUGCCUGCAAAUACGUCCGAGUUUUCGUAGCUGCGGCGUUGUUUCUACCGGAUUCAAACGGAGAAAACCGCUUUUCUUGUUGGCUAAUUUAGUUGUCACGACAGGCGUUGCCAUCGUAAAGAUUGGGCGAACAUGAACCGCUGCGCGAUGCAACAGAACCCUUUCGCCGCCUACGAAGAGAUGAGGACCGCUUUCGCCGCCGCGGAAAGGAAGCCCCCUGUCUUCUGCCCGAAGCCCCGGCGGCUCAGCCCGCCCGCUGGCGUCGCCGAUCCGAUCUGGCCCCUCCGUUGGCACUCGAGGUUGACAUAUAUAACAACCCCUCCUCUGCUACGACACCGCAAAAGUUUCCCCUUUUCGUGUAUCUGAUUCCACCUCUCUCUGUCUCUCUCUUCUGCUCUUCUCAGUCGUCAAGCAGAUUUCUCCGAUUCGAACGCCGUGGCGGACCUUCUUGACAUCUUGCUCGCAAAGGUGAGAUUUUUUGUUGACGUUGUAAUAACAUGUGUAUUUGAUGUAGCUGAUACCGAAGAAAAUAGAUCUGGAAAACCUCUGUUAUUGACGUCUAUUAUCACGAUUUGUUCGCAGGAUGGUGAAGAACAGAACCGAGAGGCUUCUUCGCCGCCCUUCUUCUGCGGCUCGCCUCCAGACCGUGCGGCAAACCCGGUCGUCCAUGACGCCCGUUUCGGCGAGGACCGUCCGCCGCUGGCGCCGUUCGCCCCUGUGCAACCGACCCAGUCCGUCACGCCGAUGUCCCCCAAGCACGCCAAGUUCGGGCUCCUGCCGGCGGCCGUGCGGGUCGAGGGUUUUGAUUGCCUCGAUCGCGGCUGCAGCAGCAUCGCUGCUGUGGCCUGAACGCCCGCAUGCGCCUCCGAGCUUUCUUUUGGAGCGCGGUGAGAGGAAGAGUGAGAGGAAGGGAGAAUUGACAUCAACAAAUCAAAGAAACCAGCUGUAGGAGAAGAACAAGUUGGUAAUCUGGGAAUGCGUUUUGGCUCUCCAUGUAAACUGUACAUCUUACUAGUGGUGCACCAAUGUUGUGUACUAUUUGUGUGGGAGAAUUGUAUGUAGAUAUCAAAAUAAGGAAGAUAGAGAGUUAGGAGGAGGAGGAGAAGGAAAGCCAAGUUUUUUUGUGUUUUGUUUUGAUCCAUAUGGACGGUAAGAGGUUCUAUUUCAUCCUGUGCUGAAAUAUUCAUCAUCUUGUAUAGAACUCUUAGGAGGAAAUCCUCGAAUCAUGAAAUUGUGUAUCUAUUCAUCAUGUAUAAAAUUUUGUAUUCCUUUUCCUCUCUAUGUUUAUGGUGCCUCUUGGAGCUCUCGAGACGGUGGUGUUGCGAUUGAUGUGGCUGCCACCAGCGAAAAGAUGUUGCGCUUAGUGUUAAGAGCAUCGUUGGACGGAGAUGACUGGAGACGUGGCUUCGUGUUGGAAUAAUGUCAUCUUAUCAGAGCAGAUAUGGUCAAUAUCGUCGACUGAUACGAGAGGCGAUGGGUAAGGAGGAAGAGGUGGAGGAUAAGAAGGAAAUGGGGGCAGGAGGGCCCAGCAAAAGGGGUGUGAGGUCAUGUCUUCUCCACCGAGCUGUCUCUGUUCAAGUGGCGCUGUCGCGAAGAAAAAAAAUAACGAAGUCCAUGCCACCACCAUUCUUUGAAUUCUCCACAUGUGUUCGUCCGUGAUGACUGACUAAUUCAACAACGGAUGGAUCGACUCCGAGACGGACUAAAUGUUCUGUGCCUAACGAAGGAUGGACACAAGUGGAUAAUGCUUUGACAAAGGUGGCUAAUUGGCACGCGAUUUCCAGGGUCUUCUGUAUGCACAGAGUCAUGAGCUGUAAUAGGCCAAUGUCGUGAACUAUAUAAUAAAUACAUCGAUGGAAGUCAUGAGCAAGUGGGGAAAAGAAAAGCCUCGGCGAUUUCUUUCUACCCGUUGCCGUCCUGCUUUGCGUCCGACCGUCUCAUUCCAUCCCGCAUGAGAUACGGUGCUGUCGGAAGAGAUUCGGACUCGCAUUAGGUUCCGAUCUCUCCGAGCGUUCGUUCAGACACAUCGCCAGGGAAAAGAAAAAGAGUAGUAGAAUCCAUCCAACUUGUGCUUGCCAAAUAAGCAGAUAAGAGGAACGAAGGCUGGGUUCACAAGCAGUCAACGUGGCCACUUUCCACACCACGGCCUUCGUCCGCAGACCAUUCCUCAUCCCAUCCAAGUGAGUCCAAAAUCUCCACUGCUCACCUCAGGCGUGAAUGCAGAUAAAGAGGAAACAAAGCGGACGUGUCCUCUGCGGAACAUGUGGUCCGCCAUGCACGUAUCCCCUGUUACUCUUGGCCUCGGCGAGACGACGUGCCGAUCCAUGGGUGGAAGAGAGACGGAAGGAAUAGGAGAGAUCCCACGACGUGCAAUGUUUCAUCGCCCACCGUGCUGCACUCGCACAUGGUCUGCGGCUUCUCCCCGGCGCAUGGAAACCAAAUAUGGGAUCGGUGGGAGAAACAGGAUCGGAAACCUGUCUCCACGGUACCACUUUCCUUCCGGUACCCAACCGAUGAAGGGAUGCGUAGAGAUCGUAAUCGAAGCAUCUGACUGCAGGAACGCUUAGAGAAUUCACUCGUUGCAAGCACCAUAGCCUCGUCCUCGUACCAUGCCAUUCUCGAUGAAGGAAUCAGAAACUGGGCGAAGCGAAGGACAUGCCACGUAAAGCAGAAGAACAGGGCACAAAGAAAGGAUUCCGGUGGAGAAUAAAGAGGGAGGAGAGUCUGGUCCAUUGCUUUUGUCGACAGAUGGGUAUCGUUUGAGACCCACCUGGAUCGCUAUGGUGAUGAUAGAUAGAUAGAUAGAUUCUUGAUGUUUAUUCUCCCAUCAAAUCAGUAACAGGGAGGAGUGAAACGGAGCGAGAGAGAGGAGGGACAACACAUUUACGGAGAACCUACAUGUGUCGAGACAGGAAAACAAUGACAGGCUACAGGUGGGUUGCGUACACUCAAACCUUUGUCGCCGCAACUGGAUGCGAAUGGGAGCUGUCGGCGAAGCAAGCAAUCGGACCUGAGUUGGCUCACCGCAGAUGCCUAAUGAUUGACGCGGAAAAGGCCAAAUCGAAGAGAUUUGGUUUGCACGAUUGGGGUGUGCAGCCAACUCGGGUUGAGUCACCUGCUGCGGCGCCUUUGAUUAGCUCUUCCUCUGGUGGGGGUGGACGUGUCCACCUGUGGCCAUAAGACCCGCCGCGAGUGGUGGUCAAAACAAAGAAGGCCUUGGGAACGACGGAGGCCGACUUUAACGUGGCAAACGGCUGUGUGCCACCUUUACUGAUGUGCCCAAAUCUUUAACAAAAAUAAAUAUUCGUGGACCGCUGGGGUGCUGAGAGCAUCUGCUUUUUAUAAUACGAAAAGAAAAGCCUGUUCGUACGACAAUCUUACUCUGGCGGAGUGGCUGAAGGAACAUUCCUUUUUCUUCUUAUAUAUAUAAUUACUUUCUUCGUGUUCGUGAGCUCCAACUCAGAAACUUCCCUUCGUUCCUAUCUUUACACAUGUUUGCCUGAAUAGAUGCUUGGAGGUGCUGUCAACGUAAGAACGCUUGAAACUGAUAAAAGGAUGGGGCUCGAUGUCAAACAUCAUAAGAGAAAAACUAGGUCAUGUCGUCUAGGAUUAAUGUUCUUUACGAUUAAGCAUGCGAGUCCUUUCGAAAUCAUGAUCGAGAAAAGUCCAAAAGGAUAAGCUUAGCCAUCGUGUAUCAAUGAUUCUUUACGAUUAGGCAUGCGAGUCCUUUCGAAAUCAUGAUCGAGGAAAGUUCAAAAGGAUAAGCUUAGCCAUCGUGUAUCAAUGGUUGCUCUAAUUUAUGAUCACAUGAGGGGGGUUACCUUACAUGCGUGUCGACUCCAAGUGGUGGCUCACGAUUAGGGUGAGUCAUCGAUCUAAUGCUUGUGUCAUUGUUUUUCCUAUCAACACCUAUAGUUUUUUCUAAUAUCAUCAUAUUUUUAAUAUAUUUUAAAACACUAAUAUCUCCUGAUAAAAGUCUAAUAUACAAAAGAGUAAAAUUAUUUAUUUCAUUAAAUUUUCAUAAUAAAAUAGUAAAAAUGGAUGACAUCUUUGUUCAAAUUUUUAUCAUAAAAAAUUUUAGAUUCUGAUGCCACUUUUAUAUCCUACGAAGAGUUAGCAUUUUUUAUUUCUUCAUAAUAUUUUUAAUUUUUAUUAGACUGUGUUGAACAAGGAGGUGUUUCAUCCUCCUCUUCUAUUCAAUUAUUGAACACAACUAUUCUUUCCAUUAAAUUUUUAUAAUAAAAAUUAAAAUUUAAUCGAGCUAUUUUUUUAAAAAAAUAAAAAAAAAUAGAUGAGAAAAAGUAAUAGCGACCCCUCCAACCAACCCCUCAGCACACGACAACAUGAACAGACUAGUCUAAACGCAAAAGUAAUAUUGACCCGUUACACUAAUUUGCUUUUGGUGGGUUGUCCGUACGGACAUCGGUGGGUAUAAGGCACGCAGCCCAUGUGGGGGUCGACUGCAGAAAUAACUCCGUCCUCGGCGACGAAGCUGAAGCUGAAGCUGGCAAUUGUUUUCUCAGAAUCAGAAUAUUCAAUCGGCCACCAUAAAUCAAAUGAAUAGGAAGAACAAAAGAAGCACAGACCAGCGGUGGUGGGAAGGUGAAGGUCGUGAUCGUCGCCGUAAAUUUUAAUAGAAACGAGCGAAGAAAAGAAAAUAUUUCGAAAUUGGACAAACAAUGGCUCCUUAAUUUAUUAAGUAGCGACACGCCGGUGACUGUGCGGGAGCGGGAGGAGGAGGUGGAGGUGGAGCUCCGCACGACGGAUUCGCCUCCGACCGCCCCUCCCUCAUUAUUUCGUCUGUCGGUCACGCACGGCUGUGGUCCGCACCUCUCUCUCUCUCUCUCUCAGACACGUGACCCCCCGCUUAUCCGCUCCAAAGCCGCGACGCGAACCGGACGCGCUGCGUCUGCCACGUUGCUGCCGGCCCCUCGUAACGUAGCCACGUGUACUCUUUAGCCGGGUUCGACCCGGCUCGGGUAGCCAUGCCUUUCGAGCGACGACUCGGCCCGUCACGAGUCCUCACACCGCCCCACCCACGACGACGACGACGACAGAUAUAGAUACGUCGCCGAACCCAGUACGUUCCUGCCGUGUCGAAGACGUUUCGGUCCGUGACGCGCCCGUGGCGACCAACAUGCCUAGCGUUAAUAGCGACGGGUGUUACUCCUCUUUCGGCUUAAAAUCACCGGAGUAAACAGAUCCGGAUUCGACGCGUCGAGUUGAUGGCUGCGUGCAUUUAGGGGAAGGUCUGGUGCUCGCACCACGCCUCUUUGAUUCAUUCCAUGCAUGCUUUUGACGGACGCACGCGCCAAUGAACGUCGAGAUUCGCGACGGACAGAAUCGCUGAGUGGGUCCGCCGCGGGGCCUCCAUGUUUGGCCAUUAUUGAUUAUUAGAGGUGGGUAGGCGCGGGCAGCGAUUGGGUUUCCUCGUUUCCUUUUUUUUCUUAUUCCUUCCUUUCCGUGGGCGAUUUGGUUACCACCGCAUCACCCAUCGAGCUGACAAAGAAAGAUAUUGAUGCCCACCCUGAAUAGCCUUUUUCUUUUUUCUAAUCUUUCUUUGGCGCUGUUGAGGUCAAAUAAAAUUAUAUUAACAUCAUGAUCGUUCGUUUACCCGCGGAUGGUGGAUGAUGGCAUGGGAGUUAUCCUACCAAUAUGUUAGCGGCUACGAUUCCUAAUUUAAUCUUCCAAGUUAUCCUACCCCAACAGGAGGUCAAACUCGACAACGAGAGGGAGGAUAACGUCGAACGUUUCUCACCGUUCAAAUCCAGAGGAUAGAGAAGGGAGAAGAAUAAAAAAAACAAAAAAGGAAGAUGCGCCCAAAUCCAGCCGAGCCGAGAAGACCAAGCCAAACCACGUACCGCCUCAGCCACGCCGACGACGGGGUCACUGCCCCGGACGCCAGCUCCGGACUCCAAACCCGACCCAUACGUGUCCAAAUUACCUUUCCUUUUCCCUUCAUUAAAAUAAAAAAAAGCAAGACACACCCGUGAUGCGUGGGCCCCUCCCACCUUAUUUCCCCCCCACCCCGCCCCCCUUAUUAUUAUUAUUAUUAUUAUUAUUUUACUCGCUCUUCCAUCUGUUAUGGACUUUAUCACGCCACCCACCGUAUUUCUCGUGUCUCGCGAAACGUCCCCAGAAAAAGAAAAAAAGGAAAAUGAAUAGAAAUCCGCCCCUCCUCUUUCCCUCCCUAUAUAAACUCCCCCUCCACCGUGGACGAAACCAUUCACAUGCUUACUCACGCUUCCGUGCUCCUGUUUUGAGUUUUGACCUUCUUCCUACUCGGCCCCCUUAUCAUUUUCUUUCCCAGUUUGCCCAUCGACAACCUGAAAUGUCUUCUCCACCCCCAUACCUUCCUCCUGUAGAGGCCUCCGCCGAUCGGAAAAGACGCCGCGACGAGAUGGUGGAGAUAGAGGAGGAGGGGGAGUCGCCGGAGAUCUCCUCGCCCGAGGCCAAGCGCCUCCUCCUCGACAUCCUUGACGAUGACGCCGAUGCCGGAGACCAGGACCUCGCCUCCGUCAUGAAGAGCCUCGAGGAGGAGAUCGCCCUCCCCUCGCCGCCUCCGCAACCGCAGCUGCUCCCUCUGGCCGCGGUGGACCAGCCCGACCUAGGGUUCCUCUUCGAGGCCUCCGACGACGAGCUCGGCCUGCCGCCCCAGGCCGACGAGCGCUGCGAGGCACCCGAGCCGGAGGUCGCCGAGGAGAGCGCCGGGUUUGGCCAGAUCUGGGGGUUCGACGACGGCGACCUGUGCGGAUACGAAGGGUUCGAGUUCGGGAUCCGGCCGGAGGAGCGGGCGGAGGCGGACGACGGGGUGGUGUUCGACGGCGGGCUGUUUGAUUACGCCGACGUGGUGCCCUGCGGGCCGUCCGAUUUCGCGGAUCUAUCGUGGCGGCCGGAGACGCUCCCGGCCGUCUGAUGACAGUCCGGACGCUUUUGUUCUUCCUUCUUUAAACCCCCCCCCUUCUUCAACUUUUCUUUUGUUCUUUUCCUUCUCUUUUGAGGAGCGGUAGGCGGUCGUUGUAAAGCUUAGAAAAAAGAAGAUGAAGAAAGAAGACGCUUGUGAACGAGAAUCGAACGAACGGUUUCGCACGAUAUUUCGAAGAAGGAAAUCAAUCUUUCGUUUUCUAUUUCGACAGCGUCAUUUUAUCAUCCACCUUAUUCGACCUUUGGAUGGACAUCCGACGGUGCAGAAAUGGGGAUCCCAAUAAUCUCCUUGGAUGCUCCGCUCGUCGCUUCUUGAUGACCAAAACAGAAAACCUAACAGCAGAAUAAAAAGUCGAUUCAACCCAUGAAGCACCAGUCUUAUUCGUUCAUUAAAUAUUUCUAACAUUCCGUUGCGUAGUAACGAGUUAUGCCAUUAUUCAUAUCCCGUAUUAGCUAAGAAUUAUGCUCAAUAAAUUAUAUUAUAAAUUGAUUACGAAUGGUGUAUGACUUGGUUGUGUGUGGGACCUGAGUUUGGUGGCAAGCAGUUUCGGAAACGUGUCGGGCUCUGUACGAGGCCGGCGCAGCGAGUUCUGUGAUGGGCCUUCUUCGUCUGUCUUUGCAUCUUCGCAAAGAAUGUCUGUUUCCCUUCCUUGCACUUGCGUUCCUUGGGUUGAUUCCGGCCUCGACCUAGUUGCAUGGCGUGAUUGGCAGUGGAGGACAUUAGAAUUCCAUCCUACGAGGUCUGCUCUCUUUCCUUUGUUGCUUACAAUCGAUGAAGAAUGGAUCUUUACAUGCCGCGAUCAAGGCCGCCUGUUUUUAGAGCCUCUUUUGGUAGGUCGAAACCUAAUUUUUUUUGCAUCACCUAAAUUUAUGGCAUCACCUUAGUAUGACGACGUUGUGUUCGACGAUAUGCCUCUUUUGUUUUCAUUCAUAAUCUUAUGUUUUCAUUAAUCAAGUCUAGUUCUCAUUGGAUUUCCGGUGCGGUGCCACGCCCCUUUUUGCUGGUGAGUAAACACAACACAUUAUAAUUUUUCCGGUGGUAGGAGGUCUGCGGGUGAAGAAUUCAGAAAAACUGGGACAAAGGAGAUGGAUGAAGAGUCUACUUUGUGGAGUGGGAGCGAGGACCAUUAAUGCUACCUGAAUGAUCAUGGUGAUCCGUAUAUAAUAAACAUACAGUUUGAGCUUGAGGAGACAUCCAAAUAUCGACUGUUGAAGGCAGAAAAGUAGCACCAGGAGGUCUCUCAGGGAAGGCAAGCUACAAAGCUUGCUGCAGAAAAUGCACUGAAAAAUAUUUAAGAAAGUGUCGGACAGGAAUGUAUGGGAGGCGGCAAGUGAUCUAGAUAUCCGGAUUGGAGUUUUCGAAAACAUUGUUCCAGGACCAGGCUAUGCACAGCUUCGAGAGGAGGGUGGUCCUAAGAAGGGUAGACAUCCGAUUCUUCAAGGAUAGCACAGGCACAUAGAAGAGAAUCAGGAUUCGGAUUUUUCGGUUUGACAGAAAAUUUCAUUAGAUCGUGAAAGACCAUUUGUCUAUGAUUUAAUAUGCCAAGUUAGAGUCCUCUGAUGAAGUAGAUCAAUAUGAUGGUUGCUUGCAUCAUCCCAAGGAAAGAAAUUCUCUGGUCUAACCUGACCAAUUUAUCAUCCACCUGUUUCUCCUGCUACAUAUAUUCGAGCCCGUCGUCGAUGGAAAAGUGAAGAAUGAGUAUUUCUUGUUUGUGUCUGUUGUUUCUUCGAUCCAUCUAUCUCUCUCAUGUCUUUGUUACCACAUGCAUGCAAUCGAAUUAAGUUCACUGAGGAUUUAUAUUUUGAUUCCAGAGAAACUGUGUUCUCAUUUACGCUUCGUGCGUUCUUCCCAUCUUUGUUAUGUCUUUUGUCCCAUUAGUUAACACUCGUAACAUGUUGAUGUUCACCGGAAAACUCGUACAGGCGAGGGAUGGACCAUGGUACGUUGUCCUUUCUAGCUACUGCAAGUGGAUCAAGUGGUAAACUUGCAGCAAAUUUGAUCUGCAACUCGAGUUAUAAGGCCAAGGACUAUUGUAUGUUUGUUUUGAAUAGGUAUGUGUAUAAUAUUUCUGCCAUUGGACUUAGGAAGGAAGUUUCUUGCGAAAUGAUGCACCGACCUGCUCCCAUUUCUAAAAUAUGCCCCAUCUGCUUAGGCUUAGCGAGUUGCAACAUAAACAGUUUGGGUUGGGAAGGAGCUUUUCAUUGCAGUGUGUGGUAUGGAAUGUAUCUUGUUUCUUGUCUGCACCGAUCCAAGGAUGGAUCAUUCUGGCACGGUCAUCCUCUCAUAAUGGUUAGUUUCUUGAUCCUUGAUCAAGAAGAAAAAAACGAAAGCCAUGCUCCUUGAUCCCCCGGCCAAUCCCUGUUUCUCGAGGCUUUUGUUUUGUGAAUCCUCUCGCCCUUUCUCUCAUCAUAUCCCCCUCCUGUACGAAAAGCAAGUGACAAAUCUCCUUGUGCCACUAAAGCUGACUCCCAUUGUCUAAAGACUUGUUGCGGGGACAGUGUUUUCGCCGCACAGUGUCUCGUACGGUUCCAGCUUUUGUCCAUCGUUCCUCUGUCUUUUGGUCUCCCAUGCCGACAUUGGAGCACUGUUCCGUGAGCCUCACAUGGGUGUUGGUGCCGCACAGUGAAAGGCUGCUGACCUCCUCUGUCUGUGAGACUUAAGUUUGACCGUCGGAGAAAGGAAGACUCGACCAUCAACGGUGAUCAUUCUUUUGAGAUAUCUGUAUCUUGUCGUGCACUGCCAUUCUUUAUCCAUCUUUCGAGGACUCGGGCCCUGAACCCUGCAGCUGGUUGGUCAUCUUUAUAGAUACCACGGCAUCGGUGAUCUUAUUAUAUCUUAUGUUGCUGCCCCGGUGGUUAAUUGUCCAUAUAUUUGAACUCAUAAUUUCUUUAAUCUCUUCGUGAUGCAUUGCCCCCCUUGCACUCAUUUUAGAUUAUCUAUAACAGUGUGGCUCUCAGUUCUUACCUUGUGGAAUUGUACUUGUAUUGAUUGGGUAACGCAUAUUUGCCUAAAGGUUACAAGUAAAUUAUAUGAAUAAUUUAAUUGUGGACCAAAAUGAGGAUGGUAAUCAGUAGCAUCGAGGACGGUGGGAAGCACAAGAACAAGGGGACGAGAAGAUGCUCGACAACAGCUUGAGCUAACAUCAAGAAUGCUACCAGUUCGAAGCACCACCGACUAUAGGAAACCAUAGCAGCUACGAGGAAGGAAGAAGGGAAAGAGAGAGAGAGAGAGUCAACCCCCCCCCCCCCUUGUCUCCUGAAAACCUACCAUCUACAUGAUAAUACAAGCAUUAGCGUUCUCAUCACUGAAAAGAUGAGUGGCACAGAAGCCGUUGUCUACUUGGCUGCUGAGAUAGCGAGGGCUCGGGCAGUAGUUGUAGUAGCCAGUGUAGGAGGCGAUCUGAGGGGACCUGAGGUGCAUCAUCUGAGGCUGCACGCAUCUGCCGUCGUGCAUCGCCAUGCUGUGCCCUCUCGAGUUGUUCGCCAUGGAUGGUGGAUGGUUCGGGUACCCCUGCUUGUUCACCAGCAAUGCCGACUGGUAUUGUGCCCCACCAGCAUUUCGUGGCAAGCCUCCAUUGCUCCCAACGAGACCCAUCAUCACAUUAUUCGCCUGCGUCAUCCUUUGUCCCUUCCCUGCCUCAGGAUUGCCACUCGCCACCUUCUUGUCGUUGGCUGCAGCAUUGACGCCUUUUGGCUGUGACCCACUUGAGCUUUUCACGGUGUGCUCUGCCUCUCUGCUCUUCCAUCCGCUGCUGCCAUUUGUUGGCCUCGCGCUGGCUGGUGCAUUGUUUGCCUGCCUCGUUAAACUGAUUUGCAUCAUCUUAUGGUCGAGGAUUUGCAGAUCAUCGUCGUCUUCAUCUUCGUCGUCAUCAAUAUCAUCAUCAUCAUCAUCAUCAUAGUCUUCCUCGUCGGAGCUGGACGAGGGAAGCUUGUUGUGCUGGUGUUUGAAGGCUUUGAGGCCUCGCAGGAGGCCUUGUUUGCCUCGCCCUUCGAUCUUCGUGUUGGCUUCCUUCAUGGGAUUGGCAACUUGCUUCGGUGGUGGUGGUGGUGGUUUUUUUUGAUGGAUGGACUUCUGAAUCGGGGUAAGCUUUUGAGACCAAAGCUCCGCACGCUUACCUGCUCUGACCAGCUUCCUGAUGAGGGUUUCAGAGUCCACAUUCCCAGAAACUGUGACCUUCUGUUCUUCUAUAUCUAUGCUGACUGAGAAGACUCCUGAGUGAGAUGCACAGAACAAGAGGUGCAUGAUGAACAUCAAGUUUCUAGUCAAAUCAGGAGUUGUAUCUGCUGUCCAUGGAGGAUAUAACGAACGUUAGAUCAGGUACCUUCAAUUCUAUGGAGGAGCUUCGUAACUUUGUGCUUACAUCCAUCACAAUGUAUGUUCACCUUCAGGACGUGGGUCUGCAAGAACCAACCAAACAGUUUCGCUUCACUAACUCCUCUUCUCGCAAGAUACAAACGAAACAGAGAGGAGGAGAGGUACCUGGAUCUUGAGGAGCUUGAAGUCUUCGCCCUUGACCAUUUCAGCCGCAAUUCCUUCCUGCUGUCUGGGAGAUCACAAAGGAACAGGACGCAGUUCCUUGUCUGCAGGGAGAGAAGCUAAGCCUCGGCAUGCAAGACUCGUCUCCUCCACCAUCCCCUGCACUUCCCUCUAUAUACCUCGGGGCACCCAACAGGACACCACUUCUUUUGUCCACUGCUCGCACUAUGAUUGAUACAAACACGCACUCUCCCUUUUCUUUUCCUUUUUUUUUUUUUCUCUCUUUUUCUUUUUCUUUUUUUUGCUUUGAUAGAAGAGAGUAUGUAUGAUUAGGUCUGUCUGAGAACAUCGUCCAAUGUUCUGUGUGCGUUGGGAUCCUCCCCGCGCGUAGAUUUGGCGUCUGGAGAGCCAUCCAAUGGCUGAGACAAAGCAGCUAAGCGCUGAGGGGAGGAAACGAAGAAAGGAGAUCGAGGAGAGAAGCCAUGCAGCAGCGACCUGACCUGACCUGACAUCUGCAUUGCUUCCUGCAUGCAUAGCCCUGCACAGGCUCGUCUCUUUGCAUCUGGUGCCCAUUUUUAUCGUCUCCAUCUUCUUCUUUUCUUCUCCUCUCUACUCUCUCUUUCGCCUGUUCUGCUCCUGUGCCCGCCAUAAACCCAGAAACACAGCUUAACGUUUGACGAAACACCUCCAAAUCAAUCACGUAGGCUCCUGUCCGCUAAAAGCAUUCUCUUGGACGUUGUUAAGAACCAGCGUGGUUGUCCACCGCUGAAAGAAUGCGUAGGUUGUGGUAACAAGAACGAUGGGCCUCGGGCCAUCAUGCUCCGCUCACCUGUAACCAUAGGUUUGGUAUCAGUCCACGAGCUUUGAUGCAUUCUCUUAAAGUUAGGAGGCGGCAACGAGUUCAGCUGUUUGUGCUGUAGAAAGUAAUCUUAAUUUAGGGUGAAUUCAGAAGCAGAGUGGCCCGAAGACGACGACGACGACUCAUUACUUUGGAAGCUGAGUUAGAGCUCCAUGUCGGUAGGGGACACUUUGGACGUCAAAGUUGGGUCGCGUAUGGAUCCAAAUCCUUGACUUCUUCCUUCUUCCACCGGUACGCAUGCACUUGGAGGAAAAGCUGAUCACAUGGUCUGUGGCAGACAAACAAUUAGGUGAUCUACAAGUAAUCUUGGUAAUGACAGGAGAUUAGAUGCAGAGAUACAAAUGGUUGUCCACCUCAACCUCAUUGGAUAUUGCAUUUAUUAAGAGUCAAAUCUCACGAGACUCCAAAAGUUAGAGAAAAGAAGAAAUCAACAUCCGAGUUCAUCAUUAAUCACACACACACACACACACACACCAUCACAACAUGGUCAAAAGUUGUGACAAUUUGGUCAUCAUUCCUGGGCAACUCACUGACUUGUAUCUAUUAAUCUGACAAAGCUGGGAAAUUAGCUGGAACCAAUACGAAAUCUAGCCAUCUGUCUAAACCCACCACCGAGCGUGAUCCUCCGUGAUGACAACACAAAGCCGAAUGAAAUAGGGCGUGUUUGAGAUGAAAUGGCCGAAGCCAGUGGUGGCAAUCAUUAAAAAGCAACACGUUAAACGGAGAUCGUGGGUUUCAACGGCGGGCGGCAAUGGCGGUGGUGGGAACAUGAUGCCCGACGUGCCUUGCCAUCAUUUCCCUUUCUCACAAAGUAGUCGUGAAAUUUGCUUGAUAUAUUGGCCACAAAGAUCGACGAAGACAAAUUUGUCGAUAGGAUGAAACAACGGUGGUAGAGGAGGGAUACGGGUGGCCAAAAGAAAAGAAACAUGAGGGAGGGCCAGAACGGGAAAUAAACGCCCGAGUACUUCUGAUUCUCCUCCUCCUCCCUUCCUUCACUCCAACAGAUCCAAUCGCUCCCUUGUAAGCCUCCUCCUCCUUUCCUUCCACUGAUUGUUUUUCUUGUCGCCGUGCCUUUUUGGUUUACUUUGGUUCUACUUGGUCUGUUAAGGCAGGGAUAGGAGAGAGAGAGAGAGAGAGAGAGAGAGUAGGGGUUUCAGGGUCCAUAAGAAAGCUGCCACCUUUUUCUUCUCGGUGUAUUGAUUCCUCUGUUUCUGGUGGGUUUGUGAUUCCGUUCUUGGUUUUCUUUUAGCCUCAUUCAUCUCUCCUCCUCUCUACCCUUCUCUGAAUUAUGGAUUUGUUUGCUCUCUUUCAUCUUCGUUUUCUCUUUGUCGUUUCGGAUCCAUGAAAGAUCGCUCCUUUUUCAGUGUUUCGUUUGGAAUUUCCAAUAAUACUUUGGUUCUCGUGUUUUGGUUGCUGUUCUUCUUGUGACCGAUUGAAUUUUGAUGAAUCUUUCCCGUCUCAGUUUUCUCUGUUCGUGGGAUUUCGAAUACCUUGUAGUUUGAGGAAACCGACAUCUUUCUUGUGCUUCUCUGCUGCAACCCUGUUGGUCUUGGUCUCUACACGAUGAUGUUAUUCUUACACUUACUUUUUACUGUCCUGAUAGAUUGUUGGAUUACUAUCCUCCGUUUUUGGUUCUGCGUCUCAGUGUCCUGCUCUACGUUGCAAAGAUAACUUCUUCCGUCAUGUGGGGAUUGUUCAUGAUUUUAUUAACAUCUUUCCUUUGACUCUGACGUAUGGUUACAUUGGCUUCUUUGUUACAUUGUUCUCCUCUUUUCGUUCAAAGUUCCAGAAGAAUGGGAGACCAUCUUGCUUUGUUAGUGGACCACCUGCUCACCGAGUCAACGCUUGAAGCGGCUAUUGGUAGUCGGAAGCAUGGCCAGAUUGUCGCCAAUUCGGCAUCUUUGGAGGACCCGGCCAAAGAAUUCACUCGGAAGAGUCACGUCAGAGGAAGGACAUCCGUGGGAAAGUUGGUCGAGUGCCGAAUUUGUCAAGAAGAAGAUGAAGACUGCAACAUGGAGAUCCCUUGUUCAUGUUGUGGCAGCUUGAAGGUAAAUCAAGCUUCUAUGUAACAUAUGUAACUUGCCUUUGUAUUGCCUAUUACUGUAAGGUCAAUUUUUUGUUGCAGAAUAUGGCUUGUUCUUGAAGAUUUCAUUUUUGUGAUAACACGUAUUACUAUAAGUUCAAAUUUUGUUGCAGAAUAUGGCUCGUUCUUGAAGAUUUCAUUUUUGUGAUAACAUGGAAAUCAUGCAUACAUCUGCUUCGGUCAUGCAGUUAUUUUGUAUUCUGAUUUGUAGCAAAAAGGUUCAUCAGUUCUAGCCUGCAAACUGAAUUUCCUGUAUGAUAGUGUGUAUGUUUGAGCUACAAUUUGUUAUUUUCUAUUAAUGUAUGAAAUAGUUUGGUUAUUUUCCUGUAUGAUAGUGUGUAUGUUUGAACUACCGAGUGGUAAUCUAGAAGUUAAAAAUUGCAAUUUAAUUAAGGAUUCAAACAGUGAUCAAUGUUCAUUUGUAAUUCAUUUGCAACACAUUACUUUUGCUCAGUAUCUGUUUGGCAGAAGUCUGCCCGAGAUAUGUUCCUCUUGUGUUUUAGAAUUACCUUUAAUCCAGUGAAGCUUCAGUCUGUGAGAUUUAUAUCAUUUGAAAGUCAAAGUAAGUCCGGUUAUUUAUUGACCCGGUGACAGGAAUAUAUCAUACAAAAGAAGGAACUGGUCUCUCUCAUCUCAUUUGUACGUCUGUCACCUUUGUUCAACGUUACUAGUAAAUUGUCAUCCAACAAGUUCAUUGAUCUUUGUGUUCUAGAAGUAUACAGUUAAUGCGUUCACAUAUUUCUUGUUAUGUGUUUUCUUUCGUAGUCUAGUUUACAUCCCAGGAAAAUAAGAAAAAUUCACCUUAGCUCUUUCUUCUUGCAGUAUGCUCAUCGUAAGUGUGUUCAAAGAUGGUGUAACGAGAAGGGCGACACAGUGUGUGAGAUUUGCCUGCAGGUGAUGUUUUUUUUUUCUGGCCUCGUAGUUUUCUUGAUCUCAACAUUCUGUAGUCACCAUGGUGAAAGCUUGAGCAACACGUACUGAUAUUGAAAGUGUCAAUUGAGGCUUUCUCAUCAAGCAAUUAUCUCUUUCAGAUUACAUGCUGGUCAUUUCAUCUGCACAUUUACUUUGAUGUAGCAUUUGGAUCACGAUAGUUUAUUUCUUGUGAUAUUGCUGCUAUAGCUCCUAAUUCUUGUCACUCAUUCAGCAAUUUAAGCCAGGUUAUACUGCCCCUCCAAAGUUGUUUCAGUAUGGGAGUAUUCCUAUGAACUUCAGGUAUCCUUUAUUCGUCUCGUUACGUUUUUAGGCAUCUGUGGCAAUUCAGAGUUGCAUCAUUUACACAAGGAAUCACUGAUUGUGUCAUAAUAUUUCUCAGAGGCAAUUGGGAGAUUACCAGACAGGAUCAGCAUGAUUCUCAGAUCAUAGCACUGGUUCCAUCUGAACAUGAUAUCGUGCACCCUGAUGACGAUGAUUAUUCAGCUUUAGGCAUGAGAAACACAGUUUGUCGUCAGUCAAUUGUGAUAAUAGUGAGUUUAUUUUGAUUCGAUAAGCACGAUAGUGGAGUGACUUGUGAGUCGCAUUUUGCCUUAUUAUGCUUUGUGUUUUGACGUAAGUGAUUCGCUUUUGUUUUUUCCAGUUCACGGUUCUUUUGGUUCUUCCCCACACUCUUCCUCUUAUGAUCGGUGUAGCUGAGCAGUAUUCAUUCACUCUGUUCUCAGUAAAAAUCUAAUCCUAAGAAAUUAAUAAUUUUCUUUCGACAUACUAUUAUUCGCUUCUGAAGUUCCGUAUGAUGUAGCCCAUUUUUAUUUGUACGUUUCUGUAUAAAAGCUACUGGUGUUGCGGACUGCUGGAAUACUUUUGCCGAUCUUUGUAAUGGUCAGAACAAUAAGGACAUUUCACCAGUUCCGCUGCCGACGGGUAAUUUUCUUUUUUCUUCUUCCCAUAGCGGCUGUAGAAACUCAAAUCUUUUUUCCAUGGUUUCUUAAGAAAAAGAAUCUUGAAACGUUUUGGAACAUGUUGCAGGUAACUCGUGAAAUAUCUGAUCCAGCUGAAGGAGAGAACAUGAUCGAACCUUGGCGGCUGGUGCGGUCUCAACCACAUCACAUUCAGAUGCACUGACUGAUACAAAGGAGCGAUGAUUAGCAGCGCGAGUGACUAAUCCCACUGUUUCUUGGUGAUGCAAGAUCAGGUCAAACAAUGGAAGAUGAGAAGAGGAAAAAUGACUGGGAACAUGGCAUGGUUAUGCAGUCUGCUGCUCUGUACAUAACAUGGUAGUGAUAGGUUUCCCUUCGGAAUGCUUGAAAACGGUAGCCAUAGUUGGAUCCCUCUAUAGAAAGCCACUCGCUUCAGAAAGCUUGAAGAUGAAGUGGCUGAAUUGAGAGUAGUGAUAUGGAUGGCAUGGUGUAAAGUCGAACUCAUUUGGCAGUCAAAAGAAGAUUCAAGUUUGACUUUAAAUGCCAAUGUUAGAACAGCUUGGAUUUUCUUUUUACUUUUAUUUAUUUAUUGGAUUUACUUGAAUAAGCAUAAUUAUGGGUCAAACCAUAUGUCCUCCCUUGUGGUUGAUUCAAAUAAGGUGAUGAAGAAGGAGUUACUACAUUCACGUCGUCCUUGAAUUGCAUAAGAACAUUUCUUGCACUGGUUGCUAGUGACGAAGUGCUCACCGUCAACAUCUUCAUAUUGAAUCUGAAGCCGACAGAAAUUAACAAUAGAUCAAGAAAUGUCACUAAAUCUGUGCAGGAAAAAAGACCUCCAUUGAGUUCUUCCUGAUGCCACCCACCCCUCGUCAGCCUCGUGGAACUUCUUUUAUGGUGUCCAAUGCCGGCGUCCACGACGACUGCCUCGGCCUCUCCUCUUGAUGCACCGGGUGGCUUCAUUCGCUUUCUUGGCCUGUGCGGGGAGCAAGCAGAGGUCACCGCGGACGGGAAGAAUCCUGUUGGAGAAUCUUGCCUUAGAGGCCCUGCACGAAAGAGCUGCCAUCUCCUCCUCGGUAAGCACCGAGAAGAGCAUGUCCAUCGGCAGCAGGAAGUAGAGCCGGCGUCGCUCGAGUUCCUCGUCCGCCGCCAAACCUGGAAUCCGACACCCCACGUCGAGAUGGUCAGAGUCGCACACGAACUACCCAGGGUUGUCAACCAUCAACUCCGCCGCUCUCACAGAACGCACGUACUCUACGACGCCAUUGACGACCCUUAUGGAUCCACCCGAGGCAGCGUAAGGUGUGCAUGCAGUGUUUCCCAUGAAAUCACACUCCAAUCUCCCAGCAACUAGAACAUCACAAGGGACACAAACAGAGAACGAGAGAGAGAGAGAGGAAGAGAAGGAAUGGCAAUGUGUGGAAUGUGCGUUGGGCAUUGGGGGUAUCAAGGGAAGCACAUGGGCCAGAAGAUACAGCAUCAGAUCAUGCAUGGAACCUGACAAAUCAAUGGAGGAAGCACAGAGAUGCAGAGAAGCAGAAUCAAGUGGAUGCCAAAAUGUUCAGUAUGCUUGUCCGACACCUCACACCUUACACCGCUAAAAGUUGGCAUAACAAAUCAUUGGAGAACAUGACAUGAAAACUAGACUGCUUAGAACACCUUUAACCAGACAGAGAUGGCAACAAAAGCCAAACAAUUAUAAUCAAAUUGUUGUUGAUAUGCAUAAUCUCAUCAGAGGCCAAGCUGUCUGAAGACUUAAAUCAUGGAGACCCAGCUAUCAUCUUUAUGGAAUCCUUACCUAAUUGGUGGACCAGUGUUUCACCAAAGUAGCCAACAAAACGCUAUUGCUUGAUCCAUUCUCACUUCAUCUUGAAGAGGUUUUGGGGCGCUUCAAAUGUAUCCUGUUGCUUCACAAACCUGAUCAUAUAGGCACAUCAUCGACAAAAGGCAGUGGUUAAUCUUGUUUUCUAAGCUUAGAUUCACAUUAUUUCCAUCAGUUUGUUGUUAUGCUAAUCGAAUAAAGAACCAAGCAAUAGUGUGGGAAUAAUUUACUGGACAAGUUAAUCGAAAGAAAAAUAGUGGAAGUUAAAAGCUUAGAAACUGCAUUGUCUCUUCAAAUAAACAAUUUACUGCAUUCCUUUAAUUGAAUACUGAGAGAGUAUACAUCAGUGCUCCUUGUUUUUUUAGUACAGGCAACUUAUAUGAACUUCCAAAAGUAUACAAGACUGAUGACCUGUUGUACUGGCCAUCAGAGUGUGAUUUAAUAAUGUAAUAAUAAGGUUGUCAAAAUUUGGUAAAUUAUUCACCAUUAUUCUGCUCCAAGCUCAAUCAGAUGAUCACACAGCAUCUGAGAACAAAAGAAUCGUAUUGGUGUUUCGCUAAUACUAAUAGAAGAGCAUUGUGAGCCUUCCCCUCCUCCAUGGUUAGAAAUUCGUCAAGAUUUUGUCUUUUGACACACCUUCAGCCACAAGCUUAGCUGUAAUGACCUGCCACAUAAAACCUAGUGUCAGUUAACUAGCAUUCUGGAGCCAUAAAUUUGUGAUCCUCAUGUAGAUUCAAAAAGUAUAAUCAACAUUAAUAGUAAUAAUCUUGUUGAAACAUGAAAACCUCUUCUCCCUGGGAAAAAAUCACAGUAGUUGCAACAUUCAUCCUAAGUGAUAUUCAAUUCAUAACUGAUAAUAAGAUUCAUCUACAACACCAGUGACAUAUUAUCCAGACAUGCAAAGUCACCCAUAAAUAAGUUGAUGAUAAUAAGAUGAUAAAUCCUUUCUCUUUCAGAAGAAAUAAGCUGAUAUAACUUAAGAUGAUUAAAUAAGUACAUAUUUUUUCAUCAGAUAAAGUGAUCUUUCCAUUAGUCUCGUGUUCUCAAUAGAAGGCCAUCUUGAAAUAACAUCAGAUAUUGAUUGGUGGGGAAUUCAAGCCAAGUUAUUAAGUCACACUUCCAGCACUAACUUAAUCGUGCUAUGACUUCUACAAGCUUCCAAAAAUCAAUAAAAGAGAGGCUCAGUGAAUCAAUAUGGGUUUCGGAGAGUCCAUGUACACCCAUCCAAACAGAGUGAUUGCAUUGCAGCUACUCAGACUAUUUAUCAAUGACUAUUAAGAUUUCAGAAAACUGUACCUCAGUCAUCUGUUUGUGCCCACAAAGCACCGCACCAGUUGUUGAAGGAUUUAGAAUAUGUCUGGCUCUUAAAAAAGCUGUCUGCAAAAUGUCAGAGAAUAAAUUUGAUUAUUUACAGGAAGUUCAACAACAUAAAGUUGGUUGUUUAUAGAUUCAAUGAGCUACCUGUACAUAUCCUCUUUCGCCACUCCAUCUUUCAUCAGGUUGUGACAAGACAGGUAUGACAUUUACUCCAGCAUACUCCCAAUCCUUGAACCUUUCCUAUAAACAAGCAACAAAAGGUUUUGUAUUUGAUUUCUUGAUUCAGAUGAACACACAUCUUGCUUGUUAGAUGCUAGCUAUAUGUUUAAUAGUGUAUAUAAUCUUAGACCUGAUAUGCCAUUUUCUGAAGAUUUCUAGCUCCAUAAUAAAGUCUCACAUCUGAUCUUUCAUUUGCACGGACACCUAAUUCAAUAAGUGACCGAAUGGGACUGCCAGAAAGAGUUCAUAGAGCAAAGUAUUAACAAUGGAAAAAAGCUAGUUAACUAGUGACAAAAUUGUUGCAUACAAUUGUAAAAAUCUACAAAAAUAUUUACUACAAAUUGGAAGACAAAAGACACGUAUCAAUAAUUUUUUAAUGCAAUCAAAACAUUCUAUCACACUCAUCUGCAAGUUAAGCAAGUUAACACUAAAUUAGUAUUUGAAAACAUAACAUCAACUUAUUUAGAAGAACAAUGUAUCAGUACCGUUAAGAAAGUAUGAUAGGAAGAACUUGAAGAUGCAUUCCAAAGAUAGAAUUGUCAUUGGCAAACAAAUCUCAGUUUUGGGGGACCGAUAGAAUGAUGCGUACAAAAGAUAGGAUGGUCAGUAUCAAGCAAAGACCAGUUUUAGGAACUAUCUGAAUAUGCAGUAGUAGCCUAUUUUCCCAAUUAUUAUGCUACAACCAGUAACCUACCAUCCAGCUUUUCCUAAAAAGUUUGGUUCUAUUACAGGUUUCUACAUUAUCAGAAAAAUGUUAAACAAAUCCUCUCAAUUAAUAUACUAACUGAAAGAAGUAUGUUAUACUCUACUUCUCUGAAUUAUUCUUCCUAUAAUCUCAAAAGAAGUAUAUGUGCCUUUGCUCCAAAGGUGUACAGGCCUUAUGGAAGCUAAACAAUACUAUCAAAGGAACAAACAAAAACCAGAUUGAAAUAAGAGACUUCAUAUUGAUAUCAUCCAUCACACGUAGAAGUAAAUGAUCAACCACUCCAUUAUCAAGUCCAUGAACGGAUCUCGGAUGCCCAAAUUUCCAACCCAAUCGCAAAUAAAUAUGAAAUGAAGGAAACAAACAGAUAGGAAGUAAGAAGAUAAACGGAGAACAAUGUGAAGUUACAAGAAUCUUUUUCUCUCUGCAAAUAAUUCUGAAGAGAAAGAAUAAUAUCUUUAAAAAUCACAGUACAAAUAUGAGAGUAGUCACUCAUGCGACCCCUCCAACCUCUCUCCGCUUGCCAGUCUUUAAGGAAACAAGUCAAAUCAAUUUGGGCACAGAGGUGACUAACAAAGACCAAAUUAGAGCUGAAUUUAAUAUAUUCUUUUAAAUUAUCAAAUGACAAAAAUUAUAACAUUCCCCACUACUUUUCAAAUUUUCACAACAACUAAGGAAAUUUUGAUUUUGAUGGGUGCCUUUUGGGUUUGGUCCACACUCAGUAGUGAUUUUACUGGACUGAGGAUCCAUUAUGGAAUAGGUUCUGAACCACGUCCUUUACCAAUCAUCUAAAACCAUACAUAUACAGCGAGUAAAAUUGAUGGAGCAUAUUACCACCUCUUUGGAUUUCCACUUAGCUUGAUUCUUAUAGGAGCUUCAACCUCAUAAUCAUAAUCCCAUAACUAUCCUCAUUUAGGUGAAUCCUCAAGAAGUAUACUUGACCGAGAUACACUUCUUAGUCCACAUGUCCUCAAAUCUCUCACCACUUGCUAAUUUAUAGGAAACCAAUCGAAGAAACUUGGGUCCACACUUGACUAGAAAAUACCAAUACAAAGCUAAAUUAAAUAGUUUUCCAAGUUAAGUAAGAACUUCAAAGUAACAAAAAUAUUAACAAAAUCAACAUCAAUAAUGAUGUAAAAAUGCUUAAAAUAAUUGGUUAGUAGAAAAUCCCGGAAGCAUGACAUCUAAUAUAUAUAUCUUGAUUGGCGUAAGCCUUGUGCACUGGGCUGCCCCUUUUUAUACCAUCUAAGAUAUAAAGAGCAAAUUUUGGACCAUCAUAAGUCUUCUAUCCUACUUUGAUUGUCUCCGCUUAUAGUUGUAGGGGUAAGAACACCUUGCAUAGGAAGUGCCUCAUGCAUUAGGCUAUCUUCUUACUUGUUCCAUCUAAAAUAUAGUUAAGAGGGUAAAUUAUAUCCCAUCUAUAAAGUCUUUAAACUAGUCAUCCAUCACAACUCAGUUGGAACUAGUUCGAUCACCCAAAUUAACAUAAUGAUUUACAAUUAAUCUUUUCUUUGUUCUCAUGGAUAUUUAUGCUAUCAAUUUCGUGAUACAAUAACCUCCAACAGGUACUCAAGAAUCAUUGUCUACAAUAUAAAAAGAUAUUGUACCUUAUGCACGAGGCUCUCAUUAAUGUGGUAUCUAGGGAGGGUCAAUGUACAUUCAAAUAUUUAAAGAGAUUAUUUUCGUGACUCGAAUCUUGGUCUCCCAGAGAACCUUACCAUUGUACCGAGGCCCGCCCUCGACCUCAAUCGUUGUCUAUGAUCUCAAAUCACCAAAUCUAUUGACCAUCAUUGAUCUCAGAAUGAUGACCACUAACAUAAUAAUAGAGUUUCAAAUAUUUGAGGUUUCAUGGUUUUGAAGAUAUAUUAACAAUGAAGCUCUAGUGGGCAAGUGUUUUCCCCUUUUAAGAGAUGUCUCUAAAAGCAACUAAAGUUCACCACAAAAUAAAUAAGAAAAACAUACGGAACAAAAUAAUCUGCAAUAUAAUGGAUGGAACUAAACACGAUUAUUAAGCUCAGAUCAUGUUUGAUUGAGCACACAAUUGACAGUUUUCAUCCUAUUCAAUGAACAACGGUCAGUUUGAACGCCACAAAUUGAGACACGAAAACGUACAUAGGCUUCAGUAAGAAAGAUUAAUGAAUGUUCAUCCUCAACGAACUGGAAAAAAAAUUCACUGAGAAGCGUAUGCAAUGAAUUUUAAUCCACAAAAUUCAUAUUUUUUCGCUUAACAAGACUGCAAAAUUGCAUAAAACAAGAAGAAUUCAGAAAUAUUAGAAAUUGGAAUUACCAAAGGGAACAGAGUCCCACCUGAUACCAGAUCCCGUUGCAAAGAUAAAGACGGAGGGGAAGGCAUCGGGAGGAGAGAUCUCCUCCACCCGGAAUCCCCUCCCCAUAAUGCCACUCAGCUCGACGAUAUCCCCGCGUCUGAGCCCACAGAGAAGAUCGACAGUGGAGCCAGGGACCCUCUUGACGAGGAAUUGGAAUUCGCAACGGGAGGCGGCGAAGGAGGGGGGGGAGGCGAUGGCGAGGAAGGCGGGCUUGUCGGCACCCGGUACCCGGAGCUGGAGGUACUGACCCGGGGCGGUGUAGGAUACGGCGAGAUCGGGGGCGUAGGAGACGUCGACGGCGACGUGAAAGAGGGAGGCGUCGGCGGAUGCGGGGGCGACGAGGGAGAGGGGCGCCUGGGACCACGUGUCCGUGUCCUGCUGAACGGCGGCUGCGAGGGCGGUGAGAGCGCGGCGGCGGAGGGGGGCGGGGAGGCGGAGGCGAGAGAGGGGAGACAUGUAGCGGUGGCGAGGGACGAGAGGGUGAGCGUCGAAGCCUUUCGGGUCAGGUACAAAGAGAGACGGGAAGGAGUUGGUCGCCGCGGCCGCCUCCUAAUUUUAUUUUUAUUUUUUUUAAUAUCAUUUUCAAACCCAUCGAAUGUAAAGUCCAUUAGAUCGAAUCGAUCUAAAUUUAAACCCAUCAAAAUAAAUAAUAUUAAUAUAUUUUCUAUUUUUAUAUUUAAAUAUUUUUUAUUUUUAUUAUAAAAAUUAUUAUUAUUAUUUUCUGUAAUUUCAUAAAAUAAAUAUAUUUAUUUUCUUUUUGGUCCCCUCCACUGAGUGUUUCAGGCCCCGCCGGCGGAGCAUAACGUGUGUUCGUCCCCGACUCCGUUCGACUCUAAGCCGCCCCGUCGUGGGUUCACGGACGGCCGAGACGUGACCUUUUUAUCUCUCCUCCAAAAUCUUUAAAUAAAAUAAUCAUCAUUAUUUUAAAUAUAAAUUAUGUAAUUUAUUUUUGUAUAUCUUUAAAUCGAACCGCAUGAUUCUUCUUCCAUCAUGAGCGAGAAAGACAACCAAAAAAUCCUCCCAGCAACUAAUAAUAUGAAAUGAUGCUUCAAAAAUAAUAAUAAGUCCAUUAGUGGAAUCGGGCCGAACGAGGCCCAAAAACUAUAUUACUUGAACACUAUAUCCAUAGUUUCUCUUCUCCUACUACUACUCCAUAACGAUAUCCAUUUCCAUUCUCGACCACAUCACACACCUCUCUCUCUCUCUCUCUCUCUCUCUCUCUCCCUCCGCCGGUCUGCCUUCUUUCUUUUCCUCCGCUUUUGCUAAAGAAUGCAAACGCAAGCACGAACGCGAGCGGCUCUGAGAUUCCAAGCCUUCCCCUCCUUCGCUAACCGGGCUCCCCUUCCCUUCGUAAUCUCCUUUCCCCCUACCCGACGGCGCGUUCGAGUCCGAUGUAGUGCCGCCUCCGACGGUGGUUCCAUCGGCGGGAAUCCUCAGCAGCAGGUGCAGCAGAGGAAGGCGUACCCUUUCGAUGCGAUAGAGCCACGAUGGCAGCGCUACUGGGAGGAGAACCGAACGUUUCGGACGCCUGAUGAGGUUGACACUUCGAAGCCCAAAUGCUACAUCCUCGACAUGUUCCCUUACCCUAGGUAACAUCUCUUGUUCAGAUAACCCGUUAGUUUUCUUGGAUUAAAAUAUGAUUUGAAUGGGUUUCGUUAGCUCUUCAUACGAGAGAGAGAGAGAGAGAGAGAGAGAGAGAAUUAUGGUUCUCGAAGAAACAGCAAGGUUGUCUGCUCCAAUUUGCCUGCUUAUUCUUCUUCUAGGGACUUCGUUCGCUUCCUUUAUGCCCACACAACUAGGAUCUCCUUUCCAGACGUCCAAUCCAGAAAUUUUUCGUUAGCUCUUGAUAGGGAAGGUUACAGAUAUGGUUUCUUGAUAACCAUUCUAGUUACUAGAAUGAAAACUGAACCUGAGGUUUGAGCCUUGGUUGGUAGUGACACCAUCAGCUUUACUGGGUUUGUCAAUCUUUAGGCCAAACCACUCAAAAAUAUUAAGUAUCAACUCUAUUAGACAAGUUCAUUAUGGAUAUAUCGGUACCAACUCUAUUAGACAGGUGCAUUAUGGAUAUAUCCAUAAUGACAGGUUCAUUAUGAAUGUAUUGGUACCAACUCUAUUAGAAAUAUGUGGAAGCAAUGGACCAGAAACCCACCUAUAUAUAGUGAUUCUAGCCUUCUAGGUGUGAAUUAGUGAUGAUACAUCUGUGGGUAUUUGGAUGAAGUCAUACAAUUAGUUUAUAUAGACAUUAAAGUGUAAAUACUAUCCUAGCUUUUGACUCUUUAAUGGCUGCCUGCCUUAUGCAAAACUCCUGUCGUCUAAUCCUUUUGCCAUGUUUUCCUUAGAUUUUCCAUGUACAGUAGAAUUUUUUGUUUGUACUUGUGAAUUCAUCUUUUAUGAUCUUUAAGGUGUUAUCUGUGUAAUUAUCCAUAUAUUUUUGUAGUGGAGCUGGAUUACAUGUUGGUCAUCCCCUUGGAUAUACUGCCACCGACAUACUUUCAAGAUAUAAACGAAUGAAGGGCUUCAAUGUUUUGCAUCCAAUGGGCUGGGAUGCGUUCGGUCUUCCUGCUGAACAAUAUGCCAUUGAGGUUUGUUUUCGUGCCAUUAUUCCAUGAGAAAGUUUCUCUUGUAUCUUACUCUUAUUAGUCAAUACUUUUUUGCACAGACUGGGACACAUCCGAAGGUUACAACCAAACGAAAUAUUGAACGAUUUCGGUCUCAGGUACCGAUGCCACAUUCAUUUCUACUAGCAAUUGAGUUGAUUACAAAAAGUGUGAAUCUUCUUACAUAUGCACUUCUAGAGCAAACAAAUUGACUUCCUUUUCGUUGCAAAUACAAAGUCAAAGUAGGCAAGGUGGAUGUUGUUCAUCAUUUUAUCUUAGAAUUCUUAAUCGGCCAGCUCUAUGUCAUCUGCCAUAAGUCAAGAAACAUAAAUAGGCAACACAAAGUCUAAUUGAGUGUAACUAUCUUAUUUAAGUGAAUUUUGUAAAAUCAUGAAGUUUCUAAUCUGCUCAAUAAUGGUUUUACACAAUCUGUAAGAAUUUUGUGGAAGGAAGAAAUGCCAAAAUUGACCUUGGUAUGCAUAUGCAUUAUUGACACAAGUCACACAACUCAGCAGGCAUGUGCUAAUACUUUUUGGUCACAACAUUUGUCAACCCAUGCUGAUCAAAUGGAAAUUUUUGAUCUCUUGCCUAUGCUCUGCUCAUCUUUCAGGGACAUGCCUAUCGCCUACAAAAAGUCACUUCAUUGGUUCAAAUACUACAGUGUCAAAACAUACAUCUCGUGCAAAUUGUAGAUACUAGAAUUGCUAACUCUUUUAGUUAAUGAACUAAGAAUAAGUGAAGACAAAAACAGAGGUUGUCUAACAUGUCUAUUUUCUAACUUGAUUGACAUUCUUGUUUGUCUUCACUCAAAUGAAUUGAACUCAAAGCUUCAUUUUGUGACUCUUCAGUGGCCUUGUAGAUGUCUAGUUAUGAAUCUAGGUUUUCAAGUCUUAUACUUAUAUGGAAUGAUUUUUUUUUUGCAAUAUUAGAUUAAUUGGAAUAUUGGAUAUUGCUAGUCUUCAAACAGUUUUGAUUAAUGCUGCAGUCUAUAAGUUAAAGUAUGGUGUAAUUGCAGACAAGAGCACUAAUUCCCACUAAUAAAAGAAAAAUAGCAUCACUUAUGGUAUACUAUGCCACACAGCAGUUUAUUUCCAUGAUCUUUAUAAAACUGUCAAUCUAUCAUUUCCAUCUGAUGAUGACAUGUGGUUAUAUUUUGUAAGUUUCCAUUUGAGUAACUUACUGAGGAAAUUUUGGUUUUCUGAUCUUAUCCAAAGAAAAUUCCAUUUGAAAGUGGUAAAUACACUAACAUGAUAACUUUUGGUAAUUUUUUGAUGCACUAAUUAUAUAAUUAAUGAGUGCGAGAAAAAAAAACUAUGUAAUGUACAGAGAUAAAAAUAAUUUAAAAAAUCGUAACAUAAGUUUGACUACAAAGGAAAUAUUGAUUGUUCAUAAAAGAGUUAAUUGAUAAUUUAGUUUUUUUAGAAUCUAUUAAUAGUUUCUCAAAAUUCUUUACUAAUUUAUUUUUUAAAUCAAUUAGUAUGAGCUUAACCUUUAAUAAUUUAGCUAAUUAAUAACUUUGUCUUUGUAAAUAUAAUUUAUUUCUUAGUUUUCUCAAACCUUGUAAAUGAGAUUUAAAUGUAGCAAAAUACUAUUGUUUAAGUUAUAAGAAAACCACUAGUUAAUGCUUUAAAGUAAAUUCAUACAAGUAUGUAAUAGAUUAAGCCGAUAAAAAGUAGCUCUUGCUGAUGAAGCCUUCAACUUCUGAGCAACACUCUGAUGUGAAGAAAGUUGCAAAAUACUUUUAAUUGUAUUCUUAUCCACUUUUAUGUACCCAUUGGCACUUUCUUCAGCAGUUUUUGUAUUCUUGGUUGGCAGCUGAAGUCAAUAGGAUUUCAUAUGAUUGGGAUCGUGAAUUAUCCACCACUGAACCUGAGUACUAUAAUGCUUCAAAGUAAAUUCAUACAAGUAUAUAAUAGAUUAAGCCGAUAAAAAGUGGCUAUUGCUGAUGGAGCCGUAAACUUAUGAGCAACACUCUGAAAUGAAGAAAGUUGCCAAAUACUUUUAAUUGUAUUCUUAUCCACUUUUAUGUACCCAUUGGCACUUUCUUCAGCAGUUUUUGUAUUCUUGGUUGGCAGCUGAAGUCAUUAGGUUUUUCAUAUGAUUGGGAUCGUGAAUUCUCCACCACCGAACCUGAGUAUUAUAAAUGGACGCAAUGGAUUUUUCUUCAGCUGUUCAAGAAAGGACUCGCAUACCAGGUCUCGAACUUGUCUUAAUUUUUCUUAUAUAGGCUUUUGAUUCUUGACUCAUAGUUUGACCCUUAGGCAUUGCAACCUUUCUUUAUUGUCAUAUAUUUUCCUACUUGUGUUGAUUUUAUGUUUCAGUUUCCUGUUAAAUUGUAGAAAAAUUAAGAUAAGUUAUCUUUAAAUUCAGGCUGAAAUACCUGUUAAUUGGUGUCCUGCACUUGGCACUGUCUUGGCAAAUGAAGAAGUGGUCAAUGGUGUUAGUGAACGAGGGGGUCAUCCUGUUGUAAGAAAGGUAGUAGUGAACUUCAAAUUCUGUCCAAAGGAAGUUUUUGUCUGAUAUCUGUUCUUUUGAAUCUGAUCAGCCAAUGCGACAAUGGAUUCUCAAGAUAACUGCUUAUGCUGAUCGUCUUCUUGAAGAUUUGGAUGAUCUUGAUUGGCCUGAGAGCAUCAAAGAAAUGCAGAGAAAUUGGAUUGGCCGUUCAGAAGGUGCUGAACUAGAAUUUGGUGUAGUUGAUUCCCAGGGAUAUGAGCAAGGCCUAAAACUGUCUGUGUAUACAACUAGACCAGACACUAUAUUUGGCGCAACGUAUGAAAAGUUUUGAUUUUCUGUUGUUUAGCUUAAUGCCCAGUGACCCUUAAUUAUACCCCUGUCUUCUUUUUUUCUGUCUGCAGAUUUAUUGUUGUGGCACCUGAGCAUCCAUUGUUGUCAUCAUUAACAACUGAGGCCCAGCAUGAGAAAGUAAUUUUACUUGGUUAUUUAUUUUCUUUAUUUGUCGUGAGUUCUAGGAGUUAAACAAGAAAAACGUUACCAAUUACAAAUGCAGGUAGAGCACUACAGGGAGCUUGCUUCAAAAAAAAGUGAUCUUGAGAGAACUGAUCUUCAAAAGGCAAAGACAGGAGUUUUUAGUGGUUCAUAUGCUAUGAAUCCAGCUACUAGGGAAACCAUUCCAAUAUGGAUAGCAGACUAUGUCUUAGGAAGGUUUAUCUGGAUUUAAUUUUCGUAUAUUUCAUACAGUUUCUGGUUAAUCUUAAAAUUUUUUAUUUGACAGAAUCCUGUAUGUUCUUUCCAUGUUUGGACCAAAUAAUCAUGGUUCCAACUUCCAAGUAAUUCCUAUAUAAGAAAAUCUUUGUGCUAUGUAGGUGACAAAAAGUUACUAGUAGGUUUUUGAUCUGGUGGAAGAUGGCGAUGCUAAAAGUUGACUAGUGAAAUAUAAUAAAACAUCACCUAGACAUCAUAUGGUGCUGAAGCUUAUCUAAGUUGAAGAGGUGCUUUGGCCUAAUAUGGACUUUCAGAUUUGUGAGGAUUUUAUAAAUUAAAGCAUGUAAAAAAGAUGAGUUUGGUCAAUGAUUUUAGAAUCUGAGGUUGCCCUUUCGGGACUUGAAUUCCAUCAUAUUCAAGACAUGGAAAUAGUCUCUUUGCAUACGAAGGAGACCCUCCGCAAACCCAAAUGAGCAGUAGCUUCAUGCACUAGCUGACUGUCGUUUUCUUUUUGUGUCAUAAUAGCUUCAUUAAGCUUAAAAUUCAAUUGAUACUUGGUUCCAUUGACUCGUAAUGUUGUGCCAAUUUUUCACAUAUAUUAUUUUAGACAAAACUAAAAGUUCUUUUUCUGUUCAGCUUCUAACAUAGUAUCAAGAUUUAUUGUGUGUUCAUCAAUCUUUAUCUCUAAUAUCCCAUGUCUUGAAACUUCCAACAGCUCAUUUUAUCAACUCAAUCAAGACAAAUCACUAGAAACCAUAUAGUACACAGUGUUAAUCUUGUUAUUUGUUAGUCAGGAUUUUGUUGCUCUGUCAAUUAAAAGAUCCAUGAGAAUUAAAUCAAAACGACUAAUUAUCUGUUUUACUUCUCUGAAUGAGGAAAUAAGAAAAGGAUUUUUUGUUUUCUUACUUAUUUUUUGGAAGGAAGUUGAACUAUAUCCACCUAUCAUGUUCAUCAAGGAUUGUUGCGUCAUGGCACAAUUAUGUUUAACACCUUUUUGGUAUGUUGUGAUUUUAUGCCAUAUAGGUUAGUGUGCUUGUGCCAGUUGUCAAGGGACAAAUCUGGGAUAGAUGCUGUGACACAUGGCAUCGUCUCUUUAGCAUUACGUUUUAACCCAUUGCCACGUGUUCAUCAGUGCAACACUACUUGAUUCUCGUAUCUGUUUAAAUUCUUAUUUUUAAUUUUUUCUGUUUAAGCUUAAAUGCUCUAGCAAUCAAACACAGUUUUCUCUAGGCUUGUGAGAGUUCUACUGAUAUACGUUUGCAUUUUGAAGUCACAUUAUUUUUGUUAUUAAUGAGUUGUUAACAUCAUUGUUUGAUGGUCAUUGUGAUUAUCAGUAACAUUCCUUUUGUUGUUAAUUAGUUAUCAACAUCAUUUAUUAAUGGUCACUGUGAUUAUCGGUAACAUUCCUUUUCCAUACUUAAUAUGCAGCUAUGGUACUGGAGCAAUCAUGGCUGUGCCUGCACAUGAUUCUCGUGACUAUGAGUUUGCCUUAAAAUAUGAUAUUCCAAUAAUUAGGGUUGUAAGUCAUACUGAUAGAAGUGAUGAUGACAGUGAACCAUAUGUAGAUGAUGGUAUCAUGAUCAACUCAUCAAAUUCGUUAUCUGGUUUGAAUAUUAAUGGCUUGUCAUGCAAAGAUGCUGCUUCAAAAGUAAUAGCUUGGCUUGAGAGUACUGGUCAUGGAAUAAAAAAGGUCUCCCUUUGCUCUGUUGGUACUUUGUCUUCAGUUUGGCAAUGCCACUGUGUAUUAUUUUGCCCUAUCUUGGACUGAGCAUGUUGUUUCGUUAGGUCAACUACAAGCUGAGGGAUUGGCUUUUUGCUAGGCAACGCUAUUGGGGAGAACCUUUUCCUGUGGUUUAUCUGGAUGAUAGCGGUGAAGUAGUUCCUUUACAGGAAAAUGAGCUUCCGUUAGUACUUCCAGACUUGGAUGACUUUAACCCUACUGGAACAGGGGAGCCUCCAUUAGCAAAAGCAACAUCGUGGGUAUGUUACUUUAAACAAUAUAACAAACAUAAGUAUCCAUCUGGAUAAAAUAGCAACUUGUUUUCUUGGUUAAUUUUGCCUUGUCCUUGUAGAUAGAUGUUAGUGGCUCUGAUCUUUUGAUUAGUCUGCAAAGUCUCUUUUAAUCAUGGAUUGGUGUAUAGAUUUGUUGAUAUGAGCCUGUAUGUAUUGCUUCAGUGAAACAUCAAAAUGUAGACUGCUUUUCAUUUUGUUAUACUUAUUAGCUAUUGAUCUUUCAUGUUCUAUGGUUAGGCUAGAUAUGCCCUUUUCUCCAUCAUUUAGUCUCGACUAUAAAGAUCAUCAUAUGCCUAGUAUUGAGUUUCAAUGCUUUCUUUUUUUAUCAAGCCAACACAUAUCUUCAAAAAUUUCAGCUCCUGCUUUUCUAUCAUGCAGUGUAACAUUUCUUUUGCAAAUAUUGCUUCUCAACCAAAUGCUCAACUGUCCCUUGAUAUACUAGCAUUUAAUUGAAGAAAAUAUGGCACAAAUGGAACUUAGCUAAAAAUCAGAGUUAUUGUAUCAUAAUUCCCUAUAGUUUGGUUGUGUUAUUAUUUGGUUUUGUCUGGGAUGAGUUGGUCCAGUGAUAUUGUCCACUGCAAAUGACACUAUACUGACUGAAAAUCUCAGUUGGCUACCUCAUUGUGGUUGUUUGAUUAGAUAUUGCUUCUAGUCAUAUAACAAAUCUUGUUUGAAUAUAGGUUAAGACAGUGGAUCCUGUAUCUGGAAGACAUGCAAGACGAGAAACAAAUACAAUGCCGCAAUGGGCUGGUUCCUGCUGGUAAUAGACUCAUUGCAGCAUUUAUAAUAUGUUUUGUAUGUACUUUCUUUUUCUUUUUGGAGUACAUAAAUCUGGUGUAGCAUGUGCCAACCUGUGCUUCUUGUAGGUAUAUAAAUUAUUAAAUGCAUUGGCAUUGGGUCAUAUUAGGGUUAAUCCAUUUUUUAUGUGACCCCAAUCUGGUGUAAUUGGCCCUAUUGAAACUUGAAUUCAUAGGGGGAGAGAGAGAACUUGAAAGACAGGAUUGAUGCCGAGAAGAUGAAGUUGCCAUUGGUUUAGUCAGCUUUACAGGCGUAGCAGAUUAGAGACUGAAGCAAGCUGUGGAAUAGAGUGCAUGGAUUCAGAGGAUGCCUUAGAGUUGGAGAUGGAUCAGAAUAUGGAAAUUGGGAAUUCACUAGGGUUUUGUUUAUCCCUUCGACUAUUUAGUGUAAAUAUAUACAAUAUCAAUCUAUAACAUAAUAUGUUAUAUCUCAUGCAGGAACAAGCAGCAUGGUACAUGAGGCCCUGGCCUUAUAUUCAGUCUUACAAUUAGAGAUGAUGUUUCCAUUAUAUCCUUGUCGCUCAAGUCACAAAGAAGCAAUCUUAUUGUGAUGUGUGGUGCCAUAGAUCACUUUCUAUGUAAUAUAUCAUACAAUCUCUGUUGUAAAAUUUUAUAUCUGAUAUCAAAACAAUUUAUGUACAGUAUAUUAUGUAAUGCUACAUAUGUUAAAGAUCUGGAUUAGAUCAUAAAUUGAUCUGAGCAACACAGAUCCAUAUCUUAACCAAUUGUGAACUGGAUCAGAUUGCACCAUUAUUAUCUGUGUCAUUAGGUCAAUCCAUUAUUAAUUGAAUUAGGUAUCGAAUUGGAUUGUGUUGGAUAUGACUUCAACCUUAGUUGGUCAUGCCAACACAUAGCAAAGCUAAUUUUGGCAUAUGUUGGGUAGCACAAUGGGCAAAGUAAACUAUGCCACACAGGUUGGUCUUAAGAGUUUAAAUUACAGAAAAAUAUUGCUUUUCCUAUCAAGAGCAUUGCAAUACAGAAAAGUUCCGGUGUAACAUCGCUCAAUUUUUAGUAGUGUCCUUCGGUUUGUCCACACACGUAAAUUGGGUUGGUAUUUGAUUUCAACUAAAUUAGCCUACUUUUUUCUUUUCGAGAUAUCAUUCUUUAGAAUUGAGUGUGCAAUGACAAUCUAGGUUUAGUACCAGAUGCUAGCUCAGUGGUAAUUUGAGCAACUCAAGGAUCACAUAGCUUUUUUGAUCUAUGUAUUGUUUGAGCCAGUGCUAUGGAGCAAUAGCACUGGCUCCUUAUCCUCUCUAAUCGAGUACAAGUUCUUUCUAUUCUUCUACUUCCAAAAUAUCUUGGUUAGGUUUUGGUCUUUGCUUUAGUUUUGCAUUAUUUAGCAUCCUCACAUCUCUUCCAAAAGUCAUUCUUUUGAUAACAGGGAAAACUUUUGAUAAUGAAGUUUAAAGCCUUCAAGAAGGGGAAAUCUUUUGGUACAUGUUAUCUAUAAGGAUGGCUUUCUUCUUGUGACAUCAAUUUGAAAUAAAUUUAAAAUCAAGAUCAUCUUUUUUCUACACUAUUUUGUAACUAUUACCCUAUGUUAUGUCAUUGCAGCAUUAGUGUUUCUGAAACCCUGAGAAUUGUCCAAUAUAGUGUCAUAUGGAAUAUUAUUUGAACACUUUGCAGGUAUUAUUUGAGAUUUAUGGACCCAAAAAAUCCAACUGCAUUGGUUGGCAAAGACAAAGAAAGGUUCACAUGCUGUUCCUUCUGCCACACUUCAUGAACUCAGUUUUAAGCUUGACAUGGCUAACAAAAUCUUGUAUGGCUUUCAUCCUAGGUACUGGAGCCCUGUUGACAUAUAUGUUGGUGGUGCUGAGCAUUCUGUCCUACACUUGCUUUAUGCUAGGUUUUGGCACAAGGUUUGUUUCAUAAUAUAUUUGAUUAAAAUCCCAUUUUGUGGUGGUUUAGGAAGUGACUUGAGACAUUUGUGUCGGUCCCAUGAAAGGAUGUUGAACUUUUAAACAUGGUAAAAAUGGUAUAUAUUAUGCUAGUAAAGUACAGCUAUAAUAGAAGUGUGUCUGUCAUGCCAAUUGUAUGAUCUAGUUCACUUUCUGCACCAACAAGCAAUCUUAGACUGUAAAUUAUGGCUUGCACUAGCAUGACAACAGCACAAGCACAGGCAUAUGCACAAUAUGCAGUACUAAAAUCUUUGGUUUCCUUAAACUAUUUUGAAACUUUUAAUUCUUUUCAUUUGAGUUUUUUUGAAAUUCUUGGUUUACCAAAAUCCUUGGUCUUAUUUCCUUGGAGGUAUUUAAUACUUUUAAGUUUUAACAUUGUUUUAAACUAAGAAACUAUGUUCUGCCUUACAGGGCAAAAAUGAAGCUUUCCCACCGGAAUUCUAGCAGUGAUUUGAUCAUGUCCAAUCCUGAUUGAGAAAGAUAUAGUAAUUAGACAUGGACACAGAAAUACUUAAACCUUAACCUCUUACUGACUCAAUCUAUUUCCAACUUGACAUUUGCUUCAUUGUCGUGCCUAAAAUUGAUGCUACCUAGUUGUUGAAACCUGUUCUUUUGUUGUACUUUCCAUUCUUCUCUUUCCUUUGCACAUUGUAGGUCUGUUUAUGACUAUGUUUGCAUUUAUGUCCAAGUGUGUUCUGUAUUGUGUAGCUUGCUAUUUCUUAAUUUUUCAAUCUUGCUAAACGCUAUUUGCUAACAGUCUUAAGAGUUCCUCAUAUGUAGGUCCUGUAUGAUAUAGGUGUGGUUUCAACCAAGGAACCUUUUCAGUGCCUUAUAAAUCAAGGGCUAAUACUUGGUGAAGUAAGUAAACUGAUUCAUGGACGUAAACAAACUAAAGUAGCGAUUAAUAAUAUCUAACGGUCUUGUUACAGAUAGAGUAUACAGCAUUCAGAGACCAAGAGGGGAGAUUAGUUUCUGCUGAUUCUGUUGGCAUCACCGAUAACCAUUUUCAAGAGAGAAUACCUGCAGAGAAGGUAUCUUGCAAAACUGCCCAAUUUAAAUCCAAAUAUUGGAGCCUUAAUUGACAAUUUUUCUUCUAUGUUCUUACAAGUCUGACAAAUAUUUCUAUCUUGCAGGUGAUGAAAGUUGGUGACUUUUAUGUUAUAAAAGAUAAUCCCAGUAUUAGAUUAGUUGCUCGAGCCUACAAAAUGAGUAAAAGUAGAGGAAAUGUUAUCAAUCCAGAUGAUGUUGUUUCUGAGUAUGGUGCAGAUUCUCUCAGGUUGUAUGAAAUGUUCAUGGGACCAUUAAGGUAACUUUUUCUUUUACAUUAAGUGAAAUAAGCUAUUGAUAUUCAUGCUGACAUUUGACUUUUAUAGGGAUUCAAAGACAUGGAGUACUGGUGGAAUUGAAGGAGUACAUAGGUUUCUAGCUAGGACUUGGAGAUUGAUUGUAGGACCCCCUUUACCUGAUGGAUCAUACAACUGUGGAACAAUUGCCACUGAUGAUGAACCUACCUUGGAUCAGUUGCGGAGUCUUCACAGAUGUAUUGCAAAAGUCAGGUUCUUUCUGCAGCUUCAGGGUCACACAAUUAAGCAACAAUUUAUUCUGAUAAAAUUUUCCCUUUUGAUGGGUCAAACUUGGUUUCAUAUUUACAUUUUGCAAAUAGCAUGGUUAGAAUUAUUAUCUUUUGCUUAUCCAAGGGUUUUGUUUUCUGUUGUCCACACAAAAAAAGAAAGAAAAAACAUAUUUUUCUUAAUUGUGUAUCAUCUUAUUCUCCUUUUUGCAGGUAUCAGAAGAAAUUCAAGAAACAAGAUUCAACACAGGAAUUUCUGCAAUGAUGGAGUUCGUAAAUGCUGCUUAUAAGGUUUCUGAAAGCAUUUGAUUCUUUAGCUGUAGUAUCAUAACUGCUUUUGCAAGUUCAUUAAUUCAUAGUUUUGUCAGCUUAGUGAAAACUUACAAGUGGGAUACAACUCAGAAUUAUUACUACUAGACAUUAUAACUUGAACAGAUUUUUCUUUCCUGUUUACUUCUGUCCAAGGAAUGCAAUUUUCACCAGUUUAGUAUGGUAUGGCCAGUAUUUGCAGGUCCGACUGUCACGGACUUAGCUGGAAUUGCCUAAGUCGUAAGGCACCCUUGCGGUUAAGAUGCGAACUUAGCUUGAGUUGCCUAAGUCGCGACGCACCCUUGCGUCGACUUCUCGGACUUAGUUGGGAUUGCCUAAGUCUUGAGGCGUCCUUGUGACAUAUGCGUCCGCAAAGGUUCAACCUAGUUGCAACCUUGUACAAAUCCCGAAGGACCUGUAAAACAGAAAGUUGAUUAGAUUGAAAACGAGCGACAGAUAAGUCCCGACGUCUUGCAAAACGGAAAGCUUUACAAGCAAUUCAGCGAGCACCUUGUGUGCACAAGAGAAAAUAGAAAGAGGAGAAAAACAAGGACGUUAGAAGAUAGAACGAACAGUUGCAAGUCCACAAAUAACUGCUCACCGGGUGCCGGACGCGAAGACAAGUUCCGAAACAUAAACAAAACUUCUAAAAAUCUUAGAUUAGCGUAAUCAAGGCAUACAUCAAAAUAUUAUUCAUUCCAGUGCAAUAAUACAUACACGAGAACAAGAUUUUUAACAUUGAUGAUCACAAGUUACUGACAUACAUGCACGACAUAUGGCUUAUUUCCUGCUAAUACAAAAUGGAUAUCGUGCUAUUUCAGGAACUGUUAUUGGCUGAAGGUCAAUAUUAUGUGUUCAAAACCUACAGAUAAUAUUGCUUCUACAUCAUGUGAUGUUUGUAGACACUAGGCUACUUGUUGAUUAGAUGAGUAAAUAUCCACACAGUUGGAUCACUGAUUGAGAGACUUGAUAUGGUACAUUGGUGGUGGUAUAUAUAAAAAUACAUAUUUGUUGUUGAGUGCUUGCACUGUUAUACUUUGCUGCUCUUAUGAGUAAUAGCAAGGCUCAUCAUUGCCAUGGCAUAGCGUUCAGUAUGGACAGUAUGCACCGGUUUAAGAUGGGAUCGGUAUGGGCAAUAUAUAUCAGUCUGUCGGUGCACCCCCACCGUACCAUAUGUCGGUAUGUCGGUACAUACCAUAUUGAUGAUCAGUCGUUACACCGGUACGGACCAGUAAGACGAAUCAUAAGUAAUAGGAUCCACUAAUUUAGCAAAUUGAGACUGGCUAUUAUUGUUAUUCCAAGACCCAUGGGUAUUAUAUUGAUUGGAAGGUAAUUGCAUGGAUCUAACGUAGGUCCACAUAGUUUUUGACUAGUUCUGGGUGGAUUUGACUCAUAUUGGUUGGAAGGCAGUUGCAUGGAUCCUAGCUAGAUCUACAUAGUUUGUGACUAGAUCUCGGUGGAUCUGACUUGAAUCUGUGUAGAUUUAGGUUUAGGUAUGGAUUGGUACUACCUUAAUUAACUCCAAUACUGAGUUGCUGAUCAGUAAAUUGAUGCAUAAACAACAAAAGUAGCAUGAAGCAAGAGAGAUACUGCAUGCAAAUGAAGAUUAACAAUGAAAUUCAGAAACUAACUUCAGACUUACAGUAAUUUGGAAAGGAAUUCUUCCUUGCUUGAAAUUUGAUGCUUGAUCUAAGAGGAGUGGAGAGGGGGGUGAUAAAAGGCAAGCAAUAGUUUGAAAUGGAUCUUUGGAUAAAUUUCAGCCGUAGACCCUCUGAGCGCGUGAGACGUUAAAUGAACUGGGUUAGCUGGUCCACAUACCAGUAACUGUCAGACCGAUAGUAUCUAGCCAUACAUACUAGUUGGACUGGUUUUAAAUCAUUGGUUCCUUCUGAUUAAAAUUUUAGGUUUUGGUGCAGUUAAAAUGCUCUUGCACUUCUUGGCUGUUUAGUUGCUUUAUAGUGCUUCUCAACCAUUCUUGUAGUGCAACCCAAGUAUUGCCUGGUUUAGUGGCUAGCCAGUGUUUGCUAUUGAGUUUAAUAACCUUGAUGUUUUAACAUUGUGCAGUACACAAACAUCUCAGAGAAAUCUUAAAUUAAGGUUUACUGAGGUAUUUCUUUUUUUGAUAGAUGACAUUGAGCUAUUAGGAAGUUAUUCUCUUUUUGGUUGAAAGGUAGAUAUAACCAGAUGGACUUGACUAGGAUGUGUUAAUUUACCUACCAAGAUACUGCUGCAUAUGGAUGCAAGUAUAUGCAAAUCAUGUAUGUGAAGGUCCCCACUGGAAAUGUAUGUCAUCUUGGAUCAUGCUAUUCUACUUUGUAAAAGCAAGAUCUACUGUUUCCUAAAUACUUGAUUACUUUGAAUAUUUCUAGGAUAUCUUUGUUUGACACUUUCAAUAUAUGCAUGUGCUACUUGUUUGAAUGAAUCGCUUUAAUCUACAUAUUCUUAACUAUGGUCGGGGGAUGACUGAAGCAUACUUGUUAUUUAUUACUAUUUCUUCAGUUCUUCAAUCUAUAUAUAGUCAGAUUGUGAUUUCAUUCAAUAGAAUGUGUCUAAUUUGGCUACUUUUCUGUAUGUUUUUUUAGUGGGAUAAACACCCAAAAUCAAUUUUGGAGCCGUUUGUUCUCUUGCUUUCACCUUUUGCACCUCACAUGGCAGAGGAACUCUGGUCUCGAAUGGGACACCAAGAAUCACUUGCAUAUGAACAAUUUCCAGAGGUACCAAUUAGCUUUCUUUGAUGCUAUGUACUCACUAAUUAAGCACAUUUGUGGUCAACUGGAUGCUAUGUGUAAAAGUUCAUGAAUAAUGCAAACCAACUUUUAUAUUUGUUUUAAUGAUGAACUUGGCAUUUGUCAUUGGCAUUUUGUAUGGAGACCCCUCUACAAAAGAAUGAACUUAGGAAGUGAAAUGAACGAAAGUAAUGUAUCUUUGAAAUGCAACACUGAGACUCUAUGCAACAUCAUAAAUCUUUUUAUAAAGUCACUACUUUUUGUGGAGAUUAAUGGUUAAAUUGUAUACUGGAAACUAAAACAUAUUUGAUUCCUAGAGAAUUGACAUUAAACUAUAUUCUAAUUGACUGUUUAAGAAGUCAUGUGCCACGUAUGUUGCAUAUAUAUUUGACAAGCAAAAAAUUGAUGCUUCAUGUGCUUGCAAAUUUCUGCUCACUUUCCAAAGUAUAAAAGGAAAUAUAUCAUUUGUAAAAGCUGUCUGGUUUCUUCCUAGCUUGGCUCAACUACUGUCACCAAUGUCUAUACCUUAGAAUUGAUAAUUCCUGUACAUAACUAUUGCCAAGUGCUUUUGCGUGAAAUACAGUUAAAAUUUAUCUGGUUUGCUCUUAGCUUGUCUCAACUAUUAUUACCAAAAUCUAUACCUUAUAUUUGAUAAUUCUGCACAUAACUAUUGCUUGGUGCUAAAUGAAGCCCCAGUUAAAAUUAGCAUCUUGAUUGGAGAAAAAUUAUGACAACCAAAUUACUAUAAUACGCCUGAAAAUAAUUUAUAUUUAAGUUUAUCUUUCACAGAAAUACCUUUCUUAUUUGCUAACAUUACAUUAAAUUCAAAGAUGUGUAUUUAAUUUGUAUUAUGUUCUUGUUCAUCCUCUUUGUAUCUCAUGUUUUCCACAAUUUGGUCCAGGCUGAAAGUGAGUUUUUGAAAGAUUCAAGCAUUGUGCUGCCAGUUCAAAUCAAUGGGAAGACCAGGGGCACCAUCCUGGUCGAUGAAGCAUGCUCUGAGGAUGAUGCAUUUAGAUUAGCAUCAGAAGAUGAAAAACUUUCCAAGUAUAUUUCGGAAAGGAUGAUAAAAAAGAGAAUCUAUGUUCCUGGAAGAAUCUUAAAUGUGAUACUAGAUCAUCAUAAGGUCAGUUCAUGAUCAUUUCCACAGAUACAUAUAUUGGGCUAUGUAAUACUCCUUGUCAUGGUUUUCAGCACAAUGAUUAUUCUUUAGAUAGGUUUGUCAGAUGUUGUAUGUGGUAUUCAUUGUGCUGCAUAGCAUGUACAAUAAAUUUAUUCUUCCAACUAAUUUGGUAAAACAUAUUUCAUUAUAUGCUUCAUGAUGAUUCUGUACAUCGCAUUUUUCUAAUGGAAUUAGUAAAAGAUUGUUAGGAAGAGAUAACCUCAAAUGAAAUAUUAAGUACAGAAAAUGAUUAAACAAUAUCCUUAUUUCUAUUGUUUUGUACAUUUAAGUCUUGUAACAGGACAUGACUAAAUCCUGAAUAUCAUCCUUGGUUUUUGUUUGUUCAAAAUAUAGACCAGCCUCCAAAGAGCAUUUGGUUUUUGUUUAAUGGUUAAGAAUUCUUCCAUGAGAGAGCUCUGUAAUUUUCAUACCUUAUGUUCCUGGCACCUAAUUUCUAUUUCUGUGGAAGGCCUGCAUAGUCAUAACUGCAUGCAAAAGGAAUUAAAACCCCCCUACUCUGACAUCAUAGGAAUUUACAAUUCAUGCAAAGAAAGAAAAGUUAUUUGUUUCCUCUGAUCAGCAAUCAUGUUGCAUUGUCCUCUUUGAGCUAUUCUGAUUAGGUAGAAUUUUACUAAUUGGUUGAGGUUCAAUGCUUCAAUUUGUAUGAAGUUUUUGUCUGUAAUUUCAGUAUUUUCCCUAAUUUUACAUUCGCCAAGGCCCAAACCUAUACUGGCAGGAGUUUUGUGCAUUGGUCAUUCUUGCAAAAUCUGUUACGUAGAGUACCCAUCCUUAAGUUCAUGAAACAAAUUCAUUUGUGUGGUUGCCAUUAUUUAAAUGCUAAUUACAUCUUUAGCAAAUUAUAUGGCCUUAAAAAGCUGCAAGAAUCGUCUGUGUUGUGAGGGUUGUCAUACGAACCUCUCCUUUUUUGCAACAACCCAAAACAAAUCCAGAUAUUGGUGCUCAGGAGUUCCUUCUCUAGAAAUAUAUUUGCAGUAACUAUUCAUGCUACUCUAUAGCAUAUAAGAUUGUUCUGUUGCUGACCUCUCUGCAAGCACAUUGUGUUAAAAUCUACGGAAGUCUUUCGUGGAAUGAGCCUCUGGAAUUCAAUGGGUGCUUAGACCUUAUAAAUGUUGCAUGAACGUGGGGAAGUCAUUUCCCUGUUCCUCAUCUUUUAUGUUGAAGACUUGGUACCUCCCAACUGAUGCUCUAUACUGGUUGGCACUUCAAUAUUGUAUAAGCCGUGAGGACCUGAAGCUCUCUGUUAAAUAUACAAGAUGUAACAAAGUGAUGGGCAAGCGCAUCAGUGGCAUGUCAGGACGAAGGAUAUUUUUGAGAAAUUCUCGUGUUGAGAAAAUGUAGCAUGGGCAUUGUGGUUUCGUGGUGCAAUGAUGUCGGGAUCCGGUGAUGAUGUCAGGUUCAGUCCCCUGAUAAAUAUUUUACAAUCCAGUGAGCAUAUGUUCCAUUUUGCAUGUUAUGUUUUAUGAUAGAUUGAGGUUCGAAUGGGGAAGCUAACGCGAGGAGUGAUGAAAUGACACGACGGCCCAGCUAUCUGGAUUCUCUCCUGUGAGACAAGUAAAUUACUUUCAUUCCCUGAUUUUAUUAGUGAAUGACAUAAAUGUUUUAUUUUCUGGCCUGUUUUAUUAGAUCAUCAACUUUCUGUUGUUGGCAAGGUUCAUGUUUGGUCUUACAAUUGUCUGUUGACAGAAUAUUUGUAUGUGAUAAAUUUAUGUCUAUAUUUUAUAGUUGGUGUCAUUACAAUAAAUCUUAAUAGUCCCUCUGUAUGCAGGGAUAAGACUGCUCCUGCAAGAGCCUUGUGCUUGUUGUGUUUGAUCAGUAUAGUUCUGUUAUUUAUGUCUCUGAGGAAUCUUUGAGAAGACAUAGUUGGAGGACAUUAUUUAGAUAAAUUAGACCAAGCACCAAGGUAAUUUUGAGAAUAAUACAGAAAUCACCAGCAACAGAGGGAAAUGCUCCUACUAGAGGACAAGUUUAAGAUAGAAGUAUUCAACAGUUAGGCCAGUCUUCAAUUAAACUAGUCUUGAAAAAGCACAAAGAAACAUGGUCCGGGUUUCAGUCAGCCCUCGGCUCGGAACUGUACCUACUGCCUGUUUCAUACGGUUUUAGGUGGUACACCAGUCUUUGAAAGGAAUGCUUAGUUGAGACAUCUCUUUUUCCAGGAAAUGCCAUGUUCAACCUUUUGAUGUGAUAGGAAAAUAACUGUUUUGAGUGUAACAUAGUUCGUGAUGAGGUAUAUCCAUGAUGAUGUUUUGGAUUAUGUGAGUUCUCUUCAUUUGUGUACAUGGUUCGAGCAGAGAUUAUUUUCUACUCUGCAGCAAGCGAAAAGAGAGCGAGUGAAUAUGGGAACGAUCAGAUGAGAGAGGUUAGAACUUAGAAGGAAGAAGUAAUCGAAUCUAGGCGACCAGCUAUACAAUGAUUGUUUAUAUGAAUUUGAUUUGAAACUCGUCUAUUUCAUCAGUAAAAUAAUUCUGCAAUUAAAGCUGUUCUAACUCUGCUAGCUUCUUGUAGAUCCACAGAGUUAACCAUCUAAUUUUUUUUUGGAUAAAGUAUGAGUUUAGUCCUGUAUGUUUUUAUUUGAAGCAUCUUCAUCUUAUUAGGCCUUAAAUGUUGUGCUCAAGUUGGAACAAUGGAAGCUAUGGAAAGCCCAAGGGAAACCAGUCUCAUAUAGUCUUCCUCUGUAGUCGUCACCGAGCACCAAUCUCACAAUUCAGCAAUAAGAGAAUGAUGGUCGAUCAAGCCUUUUGCUUGCGAGUUUGACAAGGCAGCAAUGGCGCACAUCAAGAAAGUUCCAGUAAGAUUGUCAAAUGGCUUCCAUCACCACGAGGCCAUUGAUGGGUUUCAACAAGAGGAGUUUGUGCAGAUGGUUGAGAAGCUCAACCGAGAGAAGGUGGUUGCAGAAGCAGGAACAAGGACUAAUUACGCCAUCUGAUGAAGGGGGGUGUACGUAGCUUCAGCCUCAUCAGCUUUCUAUUCCUGCAGAUCAUUGCUGCUAUACUUCAGAUGUUCUCCCAUACAGCUAUCUGGAGGACAUCUUCACAUCUUGCUGCAAGUAUGGCUCAUAGGAUACAAAGUUGCAGUAAGUGGGAAAUAUAAUGGAAAGCAGUCUGAUAGAUCUCUAUCCGAGAGACUGCCCUGCGUUCGAGGAUGUGAAACUCCAUUUACAGGCGCAGGUGAAACGAAAAAAAUGGAGGCCUCCUUGGAUAAAACACCUUUCUUGCUGAAAGCCUGGGGUCUUCUCCAUCAAUAUCACGGCAUACAUUGACUCAUGUAAAGCUUAGAAUUUGUACCGAGUAGAGUUGAUUGAAAGUUGCCACGCAUCAAAUCAUUAGAUGCGAUGGCAUGACAUACAUGACUUGUGUAAAGCUUAGAUUUUGGACUACGUAGAGUAGAUUGAAAGUUACUUCAUAUUACAUCGUCACACAGGAAAUAAGCUAUCGAAGUGCAUUCAAGUGUAAACCUCCAAUGGUCCGAAAAUAACUCAGUUGUGUUGGAUGUGAAGAUUGUAAUUUUUGUUUUUCAGCUCUGUUGACAAGUGAGCCCAUUUCGAUUUAGCACUCGGAUGUUAUUGAUUGCACUGUUUCUUCCUGGCAGUAGUAGUAGUAAUAAUAGUUUCGCCUGGUUUAAGAACAGACAACGAUGAGCCCAUGAUUGUUAAAUGUGAAAUAAUACAAUAAAUUGUGGUAAUUACUUGGUCAUUAGCUAACUUUUUGGUGCUCCAGUUAGUUGCACAAAAAAAAAAAAUGAAUUGCCUAAACAAAAGGAAAAUUGAUGAAAGGGUUUGACCUUGUAGGUUGAUUAAGGACUCGGAAAUAUAUAUAUAUAUAUAUAUAUAUAUAUAUAUAUAUAUAUAUAUAUUUCACUAUCUUAAAUUAUUCCAAGAGGCACUCUACACUUGAAAGGCUUGCGGUAUGCUCACCCUAAAUUGGGUAACCUCCGUGGCGGAUUCUAAGGUACAGCCCGUGAAGGAGUGGGUUGUCGUCACCAUCGGUGAGAAUAAAAUUUGCGAAUUCGAAGCAUUUGAGCCCAAAAAAAAAAAUUUCGGGUCUCUUUGCCAUCCAAGUGGGAUACGGUGAUCUCACCUGCCGGUCAUUGGACUUUCAUUUCCCCAAGUGCAGCUUCUUUACGGCGGCCCCCACUUUCUUCGCCGCCUAUCAGAUGGCAGGAAGCAUAGCUUCUCCAAUAGCGCGUAAAAAGAUGGGCUGUGGUCACCUCCCGUGAGGAUAAUACGGCGGAACUGGAAGAAACCGAGGCCCAAAAAAAUCUUUUGGGGGGAUUUUUUUGCAUCUAAUCGGCGUUGGGUAAACGCACCUGCGAGUCACUGGACUUGCCCUUUUUCCCAUUACCUGGAUUCAUUCAUGUAUGGGCGAAAUAAACUCUAUAAAAUUGUAAUUACAAUUACUCGAUGGAAACAUACUUUUCUAAGGGUACAGCUGUGUGAAUCAAUCAUCCUAAACACACUAUUUUUGGUGUAACAAAUAUUUAUUUACGAAACACAUAAUUAUACUUGCUAUGUCAUCAUUUAUAAACGCGAAAAUCAUAAUUUUAUUCGAUGAAAAAUUACGAUAAAUAUGUUAUACAUUAUAUUGAAGACACGUCACGUAUACCACGUGAUACCUAAUGAAUAUUACAAAUAUUAUUCCCAUGUUACUUCACAUUUCCAGCUUCGAUGGACUACUUGGGCCGAGCCCUCUCGAAGCCCAGCCCAUUCCUACCAUGGUUAUGCUCACCGCAGUAAGAAUAAGAACACAGAACGACAGCGGCUUUUACACGAAUUUAGUUUUCUCCCAAGGAACUCUACGCUCGAAAGGCUGGUGGUAAGCUCACCGAGAACGAAACAACAAGACACUUAAUAAGGCGGCUCAUCUGGAAACUCCCAGAGAAAUCGUUUGGGAGAAAAAAAAAUGGUAAAUAGAUUAGUUGAUACAAAAAUAAUAAUAAUUGUACGUGUAAUAAUGGCGUUAGAUUAGUUAAAUUUUUCACACAGAUUUAUUUAUUAUUAUUUCGAAGGCACUUAAAUCUCUUUAUAGAUUGAUGGAUGGAUGGAUGGAUGAUAGAUAGAUACUCGGCAGGCUCACCCAAACUUGUUGGCCACGUAGCGGAUUCGGUCCACGGACUAGGAUCCAGUCACCGCAGUGAGGCUAAGAAAUCUGACAUCGAGGGGUUUGAGGCCCAAAAGAAUUUUUUUUAGGCCUCUUUGACAUCGCACUGACGUGCGGUAAGUUCACCUAAACUUAUCGAUGACAUGGCGGGGUCAGCCCGCAGCCGAUUGAUCCGGUCACCGCCAUCAGACUUGGAAAUCUGACCUCCCUCCAGGGAUUGGACGCCACAGACGUGCGGUAAGUUAACUCGGUAUCGUCACUGAAGCUGGUUGCGGAUUCAGCCUAUGGACGAUGAUCCGGUCACCGCAGUAAGAUUACGAAAUCUGACCUCCAGGGAUUUGACGCCAAAAAAAUUUUUUUGGGGCCUCAUUGUCCUCGCACUGACAUGCGGUAAGUCCACCGUCGAGUCCUCACACUCUUUAUUGUUUUUUUGCCCUUUUUCUUCUUCCCCGAGUCGAGUCCGUCGCUGCUGAUUCAACCGGCGAGAGGCCAAGCUUCUGUGUUCUUCGAUUCCCCAGGAGGGACACACCCUCUUGGUGAUAGGGUGUGUUUGUUCCCCUGCAAUUUCUGCUUUUCUCCACCUUAUUAUCAUACGUUUUUCAUUGCGAUUAAUCCACGAGUCGUCACCUUCUGUUGUUGUAUUGAGAUUCUACGUGAGACGUUGCCUGUGCUUGCGGAAUGAACCUCUGGUUUGGACAGAAAUGAUCCGUAAAGAACCGAAAGAAACUUGAUCUACUGCUUUCCUCUCGUCGACUUGGUCUACAGAGAGAGAAUUACUAUGGUAGACGGAGUCUUUACUGCAUGACCAAUGAAUGGUAGAGAGAGGGUGAGAGAGUGGUCCACCGUCUUGGUUGUCACUGCGACAUUUAAUGGUGAUGUAAACAUUUCAGCUGCUUUGUCGAUAAAGAUCACCAUCUGUAUGAUGAAGAGAUUUCAACGGUUGCUUCUCCAUUGCCGAGUGUCCCGUCCCGUUCACUACAUUCUUUUUGUUUAUAGCACGAUGUUGGAAUAGAAUAACUGGUUCUUCAUGUGUGGGUGCUCCGCCAUUAUCGAGUCGCAGGAACUGCGCUUCCACCAGGAAGAAGAAAGAUGCAGGAAACAACUCCCCCCAUGCGCGAUCGCCUUGUAAGGAGGAAAAAAGAAAUGAGGCAAGAUCAUCAUUUCGUAUGCAAUUCACACAUAAACUAAGAUUGCCCACCUCAUGAUCCACAUAUUCGUGUCGCUUGCAUAGAGACCAAACACUAUCUCAUUCAUUAUGAAUGUACAUCACAUUCGCUACCUUCCAACCCUUGGCAUCGACGACGACGACUGUUGAACGAUUAGGCCACAUCCACAAAAAAAAAACACACACACUCGAGGAUACCUUCCCGAUGACAGGAAGAAGAAGAAGAAGAAGAAAAUGAACAUUCAUGGAAACACUUGUAGAGAAAUCCUAUAACAUUCUAUAAAUCUUCGUUGUCAUUCUUCCACCAUACAUUUUUCUCCAAGUUUUCCUUGUCUUCAUCCUUAAUUUUGUGCGGAAUCAUCUUCAGAAUAUGACCAACUUCUUGUUUGGUCGUAUUCCAUAUCCCCACAAACGUGUGGCUGAUCAAUCAUGAAUUCUUUUAAUGAGUUUGCUUUGUAAUUUUCAGAUUUUGAACCUAUAAAGAAAGAUUAUAAACAUAUGAGAUACAAUACAACGAUAAUAAUUAAGAAAAAAAAGGAGUUCCAUGACAUGACCUCAAAUUCUGAUGACUAGAGAACAGUUAUCGAUGCGCUGAUCGGCAUCUGCUGAGUGUGGAAACGACUAAGAACUUGUCAUCUUAGUCAUUGACCUACAACCCAUGCCAGAUAUUUAGGAAAUGCUUGUUCAUAUUCAAGCACUAUCUCUCUUCUAUGACAAAGUGGGGCUCCAACCACUAGCAACAUCACGGCCACAUCUUGAUCCUGAGUGCAAGAAGAGCAUCACUACUGAUAUGGCUGGCGAAUACAGUUUGAUGGGGAUCACUACUUAUCUGCCUAAACCUGCGUUCUGUUCAAAUAAUGGCCUUAGAAUGCUUUCGAAUAACAAGGAGUAGUGACUUAUAGCAUCUGCUCCGAGCUCAUAGGCUUGGAUUACUCGAUGACCGUAACCUUUUUUCCUUGGGAUAGCACCUCUGUUGUAUUCAACAGCCAAGGAGCAGUAGAAGAAGAAAGGUGCCGUGCCCAAUUACCUGCAAGACAAGGCACAUCCUGUUGAUGAAACCUCUCGAGCCAGUGAUGGCUAGUAUCUUCCACAUGUUUCUAGUGGAAGACAAUGGAUUUAUAUGCUGCCAAAAAGUCUACUUCCAUUUAGUGCCGCAGCAGCAUCUUCGUAGUGCACGGCCAUUGGGCGGACCACAUGUAAUUUACGACACAGAUUGAAGAUGUUGAAGGGGAAAUGGAAAAGGAUCGGUCGUGGGCGAGGAGGAAACAGGGAUGAGGUUGGCGGGGCAUCAAAAGUAUUAUUGUUCCACAACCUUCCACGGUAGAAAGAUAAUUUGAAGAAGAAAUAAACAUUCAACUUUCUUCUUUACCUAAUCUUUUGUUGCUUUCUAAAAGAAUAAUAAAUCUAGACCAUCCAAUAAAUUUCCUAUGAUGAUAAAUCAACAAAAAUAUAUAAUUAUCCUUUUUUUCUCAUAAUAAUCUGGCUUAUCUAAUGAGCUAAACAAGGUUGAUAAAUAGCAUUUGACUUUCUUUCUCGGAAACUGUUCCUUGGGUGAUGAUAUCUCGACCGAGUUUUGGCCUAGAAUAAAUAUAUAUAUAUUAAGCAGGAUGCAUUUCAUGGGUCGAGAGACCAAGUCGAAGUAAACGGUGGGUUUCCUUCUUCCCACUAGCAUGUCCCCAUUUUUAUGGAUUCCUCUGCCAAAUUGAAUUGGCUGCUGCAGUAGGGGAGCUCCGAACCAACUCCGUGCCUUGGACAAAUCAAGAGGUGGAAGGAACAAGGCAAGCAGGUGAAGACGUUCGCUUGGUCAACCGUGUGCUUCUUCUUGUGUUGCUCGGAGAAAAAACCUGCUCUCCUCGCCUCCCUGACCAAGUCUCACGUAUACCUACCCACCUACAAACAACUCCUGUAAAAUAUAUUCCGAUGGUCCAUAGUUUAGUGACGCCAUGAGGCUGUCAAGGAGCAGCUUUGGAGCUCCAUGUAAGUCGACGGGUAUUCGCUGGUGUGCAUAAGAAAUCUCUGCUUUCUUUCUUUCUUUCUUUCUUGUGAAAGAGGAGAAGACCGAGGGCUGCACCGGCUGCGGAGAUGGUGAACCAGAUGAAGCUGUUCCGGAACGCCGGCCAGUCGCAAAGAUUCAGAUUCGUGGUGCUCGUCAUAGGAUGCUUUCUGGUCUCCAUGACCUUCAUAGUGGUGUCUAGACCACUCACUUUCCCC